UUUUUUUGGUCUAGAUGUUGAAGAUGUUUUUCUCUAUUAUCUUGUUGAAUAAGGAGGCACGUGAGCUGAUUAAUAACAGUUGUUUAGCCAAAACAAGGGGCUAAGAAGCCUAAAACCUUUACUUAAUCUUUUAUUUGGUGCUCAUUCUUGAAAUUUGUUGAUACAAUACGACAGGAUUACGACAGUUCACAUAGUGUUUGUGCGAAAACUCAUUUAGAGAUUGUUAAAGCAAAUAGAAACUAACACAGAAAGAAAUAAAAGAUCAAGAAGAGAAUUAUUGUUUUUCAUUGCUUUCAAAAUUGAUACGUGCAUGCAUUUAUACAAGUGAAGUCUAACUGACGUAAGCAAAGUAACUGCUAUUUAACUAACACCAGCUUUUAACAAACUAGCUACUUUUUGCAUGCAGUUACAACUGCAUUACUCUUAACAUUCCCCUAGUCAGUCGAUUUCUGAUUUUUAAGUUCAUCAGGCGACAAGACCCUAAGAGCAUAUCGAAACGUAGAAAACAUCUUAGGAGUAAUUGGUUUAGUUAGAACAUCUGCAAUUUGUUGAUCAGAUGGCACAAAAUUGACUUGUAAGUGACCUGCAAGGAUUUUUUCCCUGACAAAAUGGUGAUCGAUUUCAACAUGCUUCAUUCUAGCAUGAUGCGUGGGAUUCUCAGCCACAGAGACUGCAGAGGAAUUGUCGCACCACACAACUGGCACUUUGGAUGGAAAAAUGCCUAUUUCAGCCAACAAUUGUUGAAGCCAUAAGAGCUCAGAAACGCAAUUUGCGAGACUACGAUAUUCUGCUUCAGCAGAAGAUCUUGACACAACUGGCUGCUUCUUUGAACACCAAGCAACAGGAUUUGAGCCUAAGAACACAACAUACCCGGAGGUUGACCGUCGAUCCUCAAUGGAUGAUGCCCAGUCUGCAUCAGAGUAGCAUACUAGUUUGAGUUGACUGGGUGUUAGAAACAAACCAUGAUCUAUGGUACCAGCUAGGUAUCUCAGAACCCGUUUUAGUGCUCUCCAAUGAGCUUCUCUUGGAGCAUUCAUGAACUGGCUGAGUUUAUUGACACUAAACGACAGAUCCGGCCGUGUUAUACACACAUAUUGUAGCAUCCCUACAACACUUCUGUACAAGUGAACAUCUACCAAUGGAGGACUAUCAACUGAAGCGGCUAACUUUGGAUUGCUUACCAUAGGUGUUGGUGUGGGGGUGGCCUCGACUAGCCCAGUUUUUUUAAGUAAGUCAACAAUAUACUUCUUCUGACUGAGUAGAAUUCCCUGUUUAGUGUGCUGAACAUCAAUUCCCAGAAAGAAAUUGAGCUCUCCCAUAUCCUUGAGAGCAAAUUUGCUAUGAAGGUGAAGUAUGACAUCUGCCAUUUCUUGAUCAGAACUACCUGUGAGAACAAUGUCAUCAACAUAGACCAUGAGCAGAAGUUUCUUUCCAUCAGAUUCACGAAUAAACAAGGAGGAGUCAGCCUUGGAUGCUUGAAAACCAAGCUGAUCAACAAGGUACUGUUUAAGAGUUUGGAACCAUGCACGGGGUGCUUGUCGCAGACCAUAGAGAGCUUUGUGCAACUUACAAACGAGCUUCUGACCCGAGGAAUCACAUACUUCAAAACCAGAGGGUUGCUCCAUGUACAACUCUUCAGUCAGUUCUCCAUUGAGAAAGGCAUUAUUAAUGUCAACUUGCCUUAACGACCACCCAUUUAUAACAGCAAGAGCAAGAACCGUGCGAAUAGUGGAGGCUCGAACCACCGGACUAAACGUGUCACGGAAAUCAAAUCCUGCAUGUUGAGAGAAGCCUUUUGCUACCAGCCGAGCUUUGUAUCUGUCCACUGAUCCAUCAGCCUUUUUCUUUAUCUUAAACAGCCACUUGCAUCCGACUGCCUUCCGAUUACUUGGUAGUGAGCAGAGUGUCCAAGUGUUAUUACGAGUCAAUGCCUGUAAUUCAUCACGAACAGCUGUUUGCCAGUCUGGAGAUGUCAUUGCAGUGUGAAUAUCAGAAGGAACCUCUGCUGAAGAGCAUUGGACUGUACUCAUAAAAACCUUUGGUUUGAAAGUUCCAACUUUGCUUCUGGUAACCAUGGGAUGUAUGUUGAGGGAAUUUGAAUGAGAAGCUUGUAAUGUUUGAGGUGUAGGUGACAUUGAUGAGGUGGCUGACGUAGGGGUGAUAGGUGUUAACGUAUGAGGUGAAAGUGAAUUCGGUGAAAUAGUGGGGUUAGGUUGUUGUUGUACAGCUUGAUGGUCAGACAAGGAAAGAGGUGAUGUAGGUGAGGGACUAGGUGGUGUAGGUUGAUUAUGAAAAGAAGUGGUGGUAGGUGGGGUAGCAUGAGAUAUUUGUUUGAGAGGUAGGACCAGAAGUUUUGCACUAGACUGAGACACUGGGUUAGACGAGACAAGUGAUGGCGAAAAAACUUUAUAUGGGAAAAUGUGCUCAUAAAAUGUGACAUGACGUGUUACAUAGAUUUUUCCAGUUGUGUCCUGGCAUUUGUAGCCUUUAUGCAAUGAUGAGUAACCUAGGAACACACAGGGUGAAGACCGAAACUGGAGUUUGACUUUGUUAAAUGGUCUAAGAUUUGGGAAGCACAGGCAACCAAAAAUUCGAAGGAAUGCAUAGUCUGGCUUUGUUUUAAAUAGCUUCUCAUAAGGUGAUAUAUUUCCCAAAGGCUGAGAGGGUAACCUGUUGAUCAGGAAGACUGCGCUGCAAAAAGCUUCAUUCCAAAAUUUUAAAGGCAUGGUAGCAUGAGCAAGCAUGGACAGACCUGUUUCAACCACCUGUCUGUGUUUGCGCUCAACAAGGCCAUUCUGUGCAGAAGUGUAUGGACAAGAGAGACGCUGGACAAUCCCUUGCUGAGCUAGAUAGGGCUUUAAUGCCUGAAACUCUCCACCCCCAUCCGUUUGUAAAACAUGUAGCUUUGCUCCAAGAACUCGUUCAGCUUGACGAUGGAACUGAGGAAAAACAGUAGCAACCUCUGACUUGCUCUUCAAGAAGUAAAGCCAUGUAUAACGAGAAUAGGCAUCAGUGAAGGCAACGUAGUAACGAAAACCAUUAGAGACAAUUGGAGCUGGCCCCCAAACAUCAGCAACGAUCAACUGUAAAGGAGAGCUGUAUGUUGUAGUUGACUUGGAAAAAGGGAGUUUAUGCUCUUUACCCAUAUGACAAGCAACACACUCAACAAGCUUUUUAUUAUCAGUAAACUGAAUAUUACAAUGUGAAAGAGCUUUUGUAAGAAUAGCACGACAGGGGUGCCCUAGCCGAGAGUGCCAAACAUUUAAAGGGAGCAUUUUGCUAACUGUAAGACAUUGAGCAUGUUUUGAAGACAGUCCACUUUGAGGAAGUUUGUUGAGAUGAAGUCUGUACAAGCCAUGAUGCACAGAACCCUUCAGGAGAACCUCUCUAGUCUGCAAAUCACGGACCUGACACUGAGUGGGAAAAAACUCAAACAUCACCCUGUUAUCUUUAGCAAACUUUGACACAGAUAAAAGAUUUUUAGUAAUACUAGGCACAAGCAACAAGGAUCUCAUAUACAAUGGUCGAGAUCGAGUAAUUAGUGAUGACUGCCCUGUAGACAGAACAGGAAGAGCAGAACCAUUGCCAACAAACACUUUACCUGGUCCUUUGUGUGAGUCACUGUCACUAAGAGAAGUAAUUGAAUUUGUAAGAUGAUGUGUGGCACCUGAGUCUGGGUACCAGGAGUUAUCAGCCACUGUUUCAGGAGUAGCCACAUAAGCCUGAGAUUGUGCUACGCCAGAGGAAGGCAUGCUGACCUGUUGAGAUGGGCUACCAACACACGGGUUAGGCCAGGUAGAUGGAGAGGGAAUUGGAAAACACCAACCUGGUGGAAACCACUGCAUAUUUUGUUGAGGAGGUGAUGACCACGGUAUUGUAGUGGGACUGGAGUUGACCAUACAAACGUUUGCUUGAGGAGGAGGCCGAUAGUUACUACUUUUGUAAGUGGAGUCAAACCGAUGGUAGCAGCGAUCGACUAGAUGCCCAGGCUUUCCACAUAGCUGACAUUGAAUCUUUGUAGAAAAUAACCUAUUGUCGACUACACCAUCAGCCGCAGCACAAUCCAUGACAACAAAAACAAAAGAGUAGCACAGCGGAUAGAUGAGAAAGCUGACCCAGGAGAAGCCUUAAUCUGAUACCAUGUUAAAGCAAAUAGAAACUAACACAGAAAGAAAUAAAAGAUCAAGAAGAGAAUUAUUGUUUUUCAUUGCUUUCAAAAUUGAUACGUGCAUGCAUUUAUACAAGUGAAGUCUAACUGACGUAAGCAAAGUAACUGCUAUUUAACUAACACCAGCUUUUAACAAACUAGCUACUUUUUGCAUGCAGUUACAACUGCAUUACUCUUAACAGAGAUUACAAGAAAUCUUGGGUUCUUUGGGGAAUGUUCUCCUAGUACUCUUUACAUAUACUCAAUGUCAAGUGUUUGUGUGUGGAAGUUUAGAAGUUUAAGUCAUUGUGGGCUUUUGUGUUUGUAUUUGGACAUCAUCAACGAGUUACAUGUUGUCUUCUCAGGGCCUUCUAGUCUGCAUGACAAUUGACUUAUGUGGUGUAUAGAUGGAGGCCAAUAUUUGUUCUCUUGUUGGGGUUUGCUUGCUUGAUGAGGUUCUUUGGCUAGGUAAACAUCUUGGCAGGGUUUUGCUGAGCAACGUUACGAGUGUACAAUUAAAAAAAUUUCCUUUGGCUAUAUCUAUAGUUAGGAUUAUUUUGAUAUAUAUCUAAUGUGUUUAUAACUAUAGAGUUCCCGGCUAGCAGACUUGUACUUAUUCAGUCCACAGCUGCUACCAUCCCUAAUUACUUUAUGUAAUGUCGCAUGCUUCGCAGAGGCAUACUCAGCAAACUGGAUCUUAUUAAUAGAAAUUUUUUAUGAGGUGGCAGUGAGCAUUCAAAGAAAAUGCAUCUGGUUAGGUGGGAAACUGUUACACUUCCCAAGGCUGAACGGGGAAUUGACACUCCUGCUAAACCAAAAAACCAAGCCCUUCUUGUUAAGUUGGGGUGGCAAUUCAUCCACGAGAAGGAUAAUCUCUGGGCGAAAACGCUUGUCGCCAAGUACCCCUCGUAACCCCCUUCGCUUGACUAAUACGUCCUUUAUCUGGAGCUCGCUUAGAAAGGUUAGUCUUCUGCUGGAAGCUGGUAUGAGAUGGGUGGUACGGGAUGGCACGAUUGUUAACUUCUGGAAUGAUAACUGGUCUGGGCUUGGACCUUGAGAAGUUUUGUCCAAGGGCCCUUGAGAUCUUUGGAAAGCACUUGAACCUUUGAGCAGGUGAGAGAGGGUCGGGUUGCAUAAGGCCCCUCUUGCGUCUCUAUGCAACCCCCCGGGAAUUUUUGGACUCCUUUUUGAGUACCCCUAUAUCUCGACCCGAUUCUUGUUAAGAUUCUUUUUGUUGGAGUCCCUUUAAAUUGGGCGUUUUCUCUUUAUCCACUGCUAAGUCUCUUGCCCUCGACUCUCCCCCUAUAAAUUCCAACAACGAUAAGGAGCUCUGGACGACUGUAUGGAAAGCCAAACUUCCUUCUAAAUUGAAAGUCUUUCUGUGGAAAUGUGGGUUGAAAUCUCUCCCAUGAAUCAGGUUCUGAGCCGAAGAGGCUUAGCUGUACUUGAUCAGUGCCCAUUAUGCUCUAAUCUAGAGGAGAGUAUUCAGCAUUUGUUCUGGGAUUUCCAUGUCACUAUCACAGAUUUGGAGUCAUAUCCUUGUUACGUUUCAUUGUCUAUCAAUUCCCAUGAUUGAACCGGUUCAGUGGCUAGAUGCCAACCUAUCUUCCUCGAUGUGGUUGCACAACCCAUGCCUAAUGGUGUAUUAUAUGCAUAACCAAUCUUGUACAAUUCUAGCCACACAUUUAAACUAUAUAUCCUGAAAUUAAGCUCUAGCAACUUUACCAACUUAUUACAUGACAUACUAAUGGUGUUUUUGGUCGAUAUAUUUCACAGGUUAAUGCAAUGAAUUUCACUUUUCACAAAUAUUUAUAAACAUUUCGAACUCAUCAACCACUCCAAUUAACGCAUAUAAAUUUGAAACAUAAUUAACAUGUGUUUUAUUAAAAAACUUAUAACAAUUUUUAAACCCAACCAUGUAUUUACAUGCAAUGUAGUACUUUUUUUUGCUGUCAUGAGAUCAAAUUUCAGACAUUUGGGGGGUAAGGAAUAAAGUUGGUGGAAAACAUUGAAAUGAGUUUGUGCCUAGGAUAUUCGUACGUGAAGCACUACAAAUACAUGAAUAUGAAUAUCAGAAUAUAUAUGGAUAUGGAAAGGGUAUAAAUAAGGAGCCUGAUGGGAUUCAUCUAUAUCUGCAAAUUUCAGCUGCAGUUGAGAUAUUACAGGGCAAAAUCUUCAGUGGCAGGCAGCCAUUGUAUAUGGCUCCGUUCAUCAGGCAUCAGCUGUAUGGAAAAUUGCAGUGUGUUCUCCGCCAAUGGAGAUUUGUCCGGUAAUUCCGGUUCUGCAGCAUUAUUGCUGUUCAGUGUCUACCAACCGGGAAAAGGAGCACUACAUGGAUGUAUGUAUAUGUAUAAUGAGGGGUGAGCCGGAUGACACCCUGUCGCUAGCCUAAAUAGUAGCAUUCACAAAUUUAAGGUGUCAAAUUAUGAUUUUAAUUAUUGUAAUAUCAUCAAAUUUGAUAUUUAAUCUCUUUACUUAUUUAUUUUCGAUCCCUUGUUAUUAUUGGCGUAAGGAAUUAGUUGGAACUAUUAACAAUUUUAACAUUUUCAUUAUUCAUCUUAUGUGGAUUUAUUUAUAUUUGACUUUUUGAUUUGAUUUUUUUUUCAUAUUCAUAUUCGCAAUCAUAUACGGUAAGAAAUUUAUAUAAUUUAUAUCACGCUUACUCUUUUAGAAAUGACGCCAUUUAAAGAUUUAUAUUUUUGACUUUUUGAAGGAGAGAUUGCAAGAGCACUUUAUUUGUUCUUAAAGGAAAUGUUAUUUGAGUGUAAAAUUUGUAAGUAAAUUAUUAUUGUUGAUUACUUUACAACUAGACAUUUAAAGGAGAAAGUCUUAGUGAAAAGCUGAUCUAAGCUAUAUAUAGGAAUGAGAUUACAAUUUGAUGAAUGACUUAAACUCAUUGGAUUUAUAAAUUCUCAUUAAAAAGUUGAUUUAUCAAAAUUUUUGAAAAUUUUCAUUAAAUCCUUUAAAUAUUAAAAUUUUUAAAUGAACCCCGAAAAAGUUAAAUAUGAUUGAUUGCAUCCCUCUAUUGAGGAUAAUUCCUCCCCCUUUAAAACUUCAUUGAAGACAAUGUUGAAAACAUACUAGGAAACUGUCUGAGGCAACCCUUGACAGCAAAUAUAGAACACUGUAUUGUUUUCUCUUAACAUUAGAAGUAUAUACAUUUCAGACCCUUACUGUUAUCUUCCUCUGUCUCCUCUGUUCAGAAGGCUAAACAACUGUCUAGCUUCCAAUUUAAAGGAUGACUUUACAUUUUUACCUCUUCUACCACUGAAAUAUAUAUAGACUUAUAAAAGCAAGAGCCACAUAUUGUUGCACCAAAUCUAUGGAAUAUUUUCCAUGAUAUACUCUGCUUGAUCUUACAUGUCUUACAAAGCCAUUACAUAAUUAUACAUUAUCAAUCUUGUUGUGCAUAUUACUGGCUAUGUAACAGUCUCCCAAUGACUACUCACCAGCUGAAAACUUAGUACACUUAUCUCCCACAUUGAUCAGCUGCAGGCAUUUUAACUAAAGGAGUUGAGCAAUGCCUGAAAACAAAGCCUUCCGUGUCAUCCGUUUAGCGGAAGCUAGCUGCUAUAUGAAGGUGAAGUCUGCAUUUACUUCAAAAGAGCUAUUGAUUAGGAGAAUGAGAUGAUUGUGUGAGUGAAUGGCAGGGCAAAUCUCCUUUGGCAAAAUCGAAUUCAUAUGCAAGAGCAUAAACAUUUCUGCUAAAGGAGACAUGCUCUGUAAUUCCUCAACUCCACAUACGGAUAAGUUUUGAUUUCCUUGACCAGGUUACAGAGAUUCAAGAGCAGUUCUAUUUAUAGAGUGCUAAACAUACUAUAUGAUAAGAGUUUCUAAUUUAGUAUAUGCCAAUGAAAAAAUUGGCAUAUGCCAAGUGAUGACAUUGCCCCCUCAUGGAAUCGUGGUCCUAAUUUGCUUAUGUAUCUUUUAUUUUUCUUUUCUUUACGAAAGUGAUGCCAUUUCUCCUUAUUUAUGUUGCAAUACUUACACAAAUGAUCAUAUUACUUAUGGAGAAAAAAUGUUGACAUAUGCAUAACAUGCAUGCACGUAAAAACAUGUAGCUAGCACCAACAGAAAUUGUUCCUUCAUCCCUCCCAUAAAGAACACAAAAUCGUAUCAUAGAUAUAGGUAAUGGAACAUGCCACUGGAUCUUCCUUGUCUAUGCUCUAUGACCAUUAACUUUUCCUUUUCUCCUACUUUUUUCUUCUUUUGAAAGGGUGCCUAAUAAUCAUUAUUGGGACAAAAGGGAAACAAAUAUUCGAUGCUUCUCUUUAUGGUAAAUUGGGUCUCCUGCAAAUUCUUGUGAGCCGUGUGACCCUUAGAGGAGUGAAGGGCGCUUAAAACGGGGGCGAAUCAAGAAAUUUUAUUGGGUGGAAUUAUAUUUUAUAUUUUUACGAUCGUAAAAAUGUAAUUUCAUCAUUUUAAUAGCUUAUAUUUUAUAAUUUAUAAAUAAUUAAAUUAAAUUUUUAUCAUUUUUAGGAAGUUAAAGUGCAAUUUUAUCAUUACUAAUUUAAAUUUUUAUAAAUUAUAAAGAGGUCUAAAUAAAAAAAAAUUCAUUUUAGAGAACUGAGGUCCCUGUCAGUCACCCUAACUUCAUCACUGGCUUAAAAUAAAAUAUUUUAAAUCUAAACUCGAACCAUGAACUUGAAAUGAAUCAUGAACCUUAACAUUGGGCCAUUGGCCAAAAGUGUUUACCACAUUUCCAAAAUGUAAGAUUAAUUUAAAUAUGGAUUUAAUUUAUAUAGUUGUGUAAUGCAUGAAUUUAAAAUAAUUCAGAUUCGAGCUAAAAUGACAAAAAAAAAAUUGAUUUGAUGCAUAGUUAUUUGCCCCAAAACCAAUAAGAAGCAUUAGAGUCUGGGAGUGAUAAGGCUAAUGAUGAAAUUGUUAUAAAAAUAUGUAUUGAAAAAUAGAAUUUGAGACUUGAUAUACUUUCUUUAAAGUUUUUUUAUUUUAUUUUAUGCAUUUAAGAUACAAUAAAAUUUUAAUUUAAUUGUUGAGAUAAGGUGAAUUAGGCUGUUCAAAUGAGUUUUAAAUGACAAUUAAAAUGUCUAAUUAUUAAGAUGAAAAUAGGUUUUUAAUUAAAUAAAUUUAGACUGUCACGAUAUCCAAGUUGGCAUUUAAAACCUAUUUGGAUUGUCAUGUAGGUCUGCCAUUAGGGAAGUAAAAGAGUUUAACGAUAGAGUGAUCAUUUCGUAAUAAAACGAUAACAUAAGUGAAACUAAAACGUAAUAUUUCAAGCAUAAAUGAUUAAAAUGUAAUUUAAGGCAAACAAAAAUGACUAUUUUUAUUAUUUACCUUUUGUUUAUUGAUAAGGAUUUUUUUUUCUAACCAGAUUUGUAUAAAAAUGCAGCGACUCUGCUAACAUUUCUAAAACCCUAAAUCAAAAGGUGAACCUACUAGAUUAUGAUCUGGUGGCAGUGUUAACAUCUGUUAGUUGAUGAAUGUCAGAACUGUCUAGACCAAAACGUUUUCGUGAUAUUGGACCUAAUAAUACAAGAUCAGCAAGGUAGACUAGCUACAUGCUUUUUUUUACCAAAGAUGAGCAUAGCGCAAAUUUAUACAAAAACCUUUAUUGCUAAACAAAAGAACAAAAAAAGGAGCGGCGAAAGGCAAAUGAACCACAAGUGACCAAGAUAAGAACAAGACAAGGAUAUGGCAAGGAAAGAGCAUAGUGUUAAAUCUUUUUGGAAUGUGCUUUCAUGGCAAACAGAAAGCGAGAUUAACUGUACUGGGAUCUCUUGGAAUGUGCUUUAUUAAACUUUCUUUUUCAUUUUUUUUAUUGAUAGAUAUCUUUUGGUAGACUUUAGUGUUCAGAAAAUCUAAAGCUUUCAUUUCAGCUACAUUUGGAAUUCCACUACCUAUUGCAUGCAUCUGUUUGAAUUCUGGACAACUCUAUUAGACUAUCAGUGGUUGUUAGCUGUUAGCUGGUUAGUUAGACUGUUAAGCAGUUGCUUACAACUUCUGUUAGUUAAUUAGUGCAACAGGUUCAGUUUACAGAUGUUUAUCAGCUACAUAACUUUGUAUAAAUUAUGUGUCUUGUAACGAUAUAGUUGCUACUUUUGCUUCUGAUAAACAUAUUAAUUUACAUGAUUCUUGUGUUCAAUUUGGUUUAUUUUUGAAUUAAUUCCUACUUAAUUGGUGCUUUUAUGAUUUAAUCUUGUCAGGGAUGCAAUUGGUCAAAAACGAGCAAAAAUGGGCCAAAUUGAAAGACAAAUCGUUGAAUUGGGGCCAAAUUAAAAGGAUGAAGAAAGCCAAAGAUUUAUCAUAUAUUUUGACUUUAUAAAAAGCUAAAAAUAGGAAGAUAUUAUUUUGUUUUAUUAUUUAUUUUUAUUUUAUUUUAUUAAUUUUGGUUAGACUAUUUUUAGUAAACCCUAUGUAUAUAAAUAGGGGCUUUUAGUUCUUAAAAAAUCAUCCAUUGUUUUUACAUUCCUAUUUCAUUUUGGAAUCGAAUUACUCUCUCUCUCUUGUAUUUCCUUCUUCAAUUUAGAAUUGAAAUAUCAUUUUUUUUCUCUUCAAUUUUACGUUACAUUUUGAAGCCUUGUCUCCAAUUUUUUUUUUCUCUUUUCCAUAAUUGGGCCAAUUGCUCUCCAAGUCCUUUUCCAUUCAUCUCUUCACCAUAGUCAUCAAUCUUCUUUCCAAGCUCACAAAGCAUGAAAAAUUUCAUGAUUAACUAAAUUUUAUCUUAGCUUUAGUCCGGUGUUCUUUCCGGUAGGGAAUCGUGAGAUACGAAUUCAUGCUAAAAUCCGUCCAAUCGGUAUUCAUUCUUUUCCUAAGUAUUGGGAUUGACAACUCAUCCCUUAAGGAUAACUCGAUUACAAGUAAAAAAGUGCACGUUGGGUUGGGAUCGUGUUAGCUGACAGUUGGAGAAACGAGUAGGCCGUGCUGUAUUCGGAUCUCCGAGAACAAAUCGAGGAAGAGGUGAUCGGAUUUAAAUGACCCACACAGUUGAGGCUGUUAAUUCGAGUUGGGUUCUUCAGAACGCAAGGCUGCCGGGAUCUUGAGUCGGGAACACGUGUAUCUCGAUUAGAUAAUCGGUAACGGUUAGUUUGCAGGUCGUACCGGAACCAGCUACGAGAGGAGGAACUGGUGGUUAGGACGUUCUUAACUGCUAUAACCAGCUUAUCAUUUGGAGGAGAAUAUUAAUUUUCAAGGAUCGACUCUUAACACGAAAUUUACCGAGUCUAAGGCUAAAGCUUAUUUUCAAGGAUCGUUUGUCUUUACCGCAUUCAAGCCUGGUAUGAAUAGUUUAUCAGUCUGACUCUUUUUCAAAUUCGAUAAAUGUUGGUUGAUCGUAUAUUUCAUUAUAGUUCUAUGAUUCAGAGUAUCAUUUCCUAUUUGAUCCCUUUGAAUUCCAUAUUCGAAGUUGCGAUCGGAUCGCUUCUUUUUAAUGAAUCGAUUCAAUACAUUUCUUAUGUACCCAUAGGUGCUAUAUUGGAUUUGAAUCAGAUUUCGGAUCAAUCUAUCUUGAUUGACUGCCUCCAUUAUGUUGUUGCUAGCAAAUACCACUAUUUUUGGUUUUGGAUCUUCCAAAUCAUUCCCGCAGGAGAUCCGGACCCAUUUUUUUCUGAUCCUUCAAUAAAAAGAUUCAUUUUUUUCAUAAAAAAUAGGAGGUAGAGCCGAUAAAGAUUUCUUUUUCGAUUCAUCCCUGGAGUUGAAUACCUCAUUCAAGAAUUGUUUUUGAUCCAAUCCGUAGGAAUCAAUAGAAAAGGCAAAUCCCUUAUAAUACACCAGAUCCGGCUCGGUUAUUGAUAGAGUGAAUAGAUCUGCCAUUUCUUGAAAUCUCUCUUCUGAUUCAAAAUCGUGGUGUAACGUGUAUCCCCUCCUGUUCUGGUCAUGGAAUAGAUGAAAUAAAUCAAAAAAUGGAUUUUUGUUCAAGAAUGAAAUCUUAUUGGAACUGCCCAGUUCAUCCUUCGGAACCAUAUCACAUCCCGGAUCUGAUGAAAUAGGAUGAAUUGAGACGGUAUUUUGUAAAUACGUAAUUAUCUUGAAUAUAUUAACUAUUUCUUUAUUUUCCGAUCGCCUGGAAGGGACAAAAGAAACAUCUUGUUCUUUCUUCAACAAUUUCUGAUCUCUAGUGGACCUCUCAGUAGGGUUUGAACCCAGAUGAAGUUCUGACCAUCUAUCAGAGAAAAAAGAACGAAUGGAUCUUGUAGGAUUCCCAAGAAAUUCUUCAGUUGCAAAAUUCUGAAUUUAUUUUAUAAUUUAUUUAAUUAAUUAUUUAUGUUGUUUCAAUUGUCUAGUUUCUAAACAUUUCAAAAACCCCCGAUUUACUUUUAUUUCUAAUUUUUGCAAGUACGAUUGGAGUCGUGGGCACGACUAUUGCCACGACCUUCGAGACGGCAAACAAUUUGAUCAUAAGCUAUACACGGAAGUUGAUUAUAACAUCCAAUCCCUGUGGACUCGACCCUACUACCACUCUACUACUAAUUAGAGUUAUUUUGUAGGAAUUAUAUUUGGUGGUUUCGACGCCCAUCAGCUUCCUCAAUUAUACUUCAUCUCUUUCCCUUCACUUUCUCAUUACUCUUUUCCUUCUCUUUUUCAUUUGUUUUCUCAGCUACCAAACAUAGUUUUCGGUAUUCUCGUCCCAUUCAUCAAUCUCCAAGGCAAGUUCAAAGCACUACACCAAAUGUCGAUUUGCCUUCCUUUUUCUUUAAAAGCAAAAAUACGUAGAUAUGAAGACAAAGUGACAACAAAAUAGUUAAAACAAGAUCAACCAGUUUGAUUAUAAUCUAGUGUCAUAAAUGUGGUCUAAUAUGUGCAAAGGGUUAUUUUGUUAUAAGGUGAGGAGACGUUAUAAUUUAAUAAAAUAAAGUGUUGAAGAAAGAUAACGGAGAAAAAAUUAGUGCGGACCAUAAAAACAAGAGAUGGAAGAAAAUGGUGAUGGAAGCAAUAAGUGGUUAAGAAAGGUGAAAACUACAAUAAUUGUUAUAAUUGUUUAUAAAAAUGUGUAGAGAGAAUUCGUCAUAUGCUUAAGUUUUACAAAAGACUAAUAAGUCUCUAAAUGAAAUCUUUGGACCACUAUUUAUAUCUAUUUUAAGACAUUUAUCAAAAGGAUGGUUAUAAAAUAAGUGACAUAUUUUAUAGAAUGUGGGAAAGAUGCAAGUUAAUUCAUAAGAAUGCAAUAUGAAUAAUAGGUAAUAAGAGUGAAGGAAAUCAUGUUCACGUUGCUAGUAGCAAAUAAUAGCAGAGAAUGGUGGUGGAUCUUGCAAUUAAGUUUUAGGGGGGCUAACUAAAAUUUUUAAAAACUUUAUAGGUUUUAGUGAGAAUUUUCAAAAAUUUUGGUAGGUCUAAUUACAAUUUUCAAAAUUUUUUGAGGUUUUAUGAAAAUUUAUAAAAAAAAUGAAGAGUCUAAUUGAAAUUUUUAAAAAUGUUCAAAAGUUUAAUAAUAAUUUUCAGAAAAUUUUAAGAGUAUAACUAAAAUUUUCAAAAACUUUAGAGAAGCCUAGGCCCUAAUGAAGAUCCACCUCUGGAAGAGAAGUUAUAAAAAUAAUGCGUAUAAUGGUAGUUUCAUGAAAGUUACACUUAUUUUAUUAAAGAGAAUGCUUCUUACAAUUUUAAAUUUAAUUUGCUCAAAUUAAUAAAAAAAAAAGGAGUAAACACUUACAUUUCAUAAUCUUUAACUCCACAGCCUUCUCAGCAUGGAGUGUAGUUUUCAAGGGAUCAUUUUGUAGGGAACAUCAACUAGGGGUGUUCAGUCGGUUAACCGACCCGAAGUGACAUUAACCGAAUUAACCGGCCCUUCAAAAUUUUUAACCGUCAACUGAACCGAAAUUUUUUCAAAAAAAUUAACCGAGCCAAAAGCUUUUCGGUUAAUUUGGUUGGUUAACCGAAUUAACCGAAUUUUUUUUUGGUUAAAAUAAGUAUAAAAUUAACCGAAUUACCCGAAUUACCCAAAUUAACCGAAUUAUUUGUAUAAAAUUAUAUGUUUUUUAUUUUUAUUUAUUAAAUUAUUUGUAAUUUUUAUGAUUGGGUUGGGUACUUGGGUUAAUAUAUAUUAGAUUGGGUAUUUGGGUUUAUGUUAAAUUGGGUUUGAGUGAAUAGUAGGCUAUUUAUAUAUUAUAAUUUUAUUUAUUAUUUUUUCGGUUAAACCAAAAAAAUUCAGUUAAUAGACCGGUUUCGAACCGAAUUAACCGUUAACCUAAAAUUCAAAAAAUUAUUAACCGACCCCCAACCGAAUUAAUUCGGUUAACAGACCGAUUAACCGAAUUCGAUCGGUUAUCCGAAUUUUUUCGGUUUUACCCAAAUUUUGCACACCCCUAACAUCAACCACUAACAAUACUAUUAACAAAAAUAUUAAUAACCAAAAAUAGGUAUCUACACUCUGAAAUUUGAGGCUGAAGUUGGGCACAUAUUUGAACAUUUGAUGAGUGAAAAUUGGGGUUAGAGAGGGAAGUUAACUUUUGUGAAACCUAUAAAGGAUGAUGCCAUUGCCAAUGGAAUCAAAAGGAGAGAGGAGAGGACCACUUUCGUUUAGAAACAAAUUGGAUGUGCCUCGAAUAUACUGUUUUAUACUUGCUAGCUCUUCACCAACAAUAUAUAUAGGCCAUAAGGGUUUAAACAUUGCAUCCGCAAAGUGAAAUGCAUGGAUGUAUUUGGUUUCAAAGCUAAAGAUGGAAAAAUGCAUGGGUGCAUUACUGGGUGAAUCUCCUUUGGAAGGCAACUAAAACUCGGUUACAUUGCAUGUUGGCAUGCCAUGUGGUGGGCGACAUGCGAUGCGAUGCUUAGCUCACUGCCAAAGGAGAUUUGCCCCGCAAUUCAGCCAUGCAACACGUUUAGGAAGCUAUACCAUCAUCAUCAAUUCAUCAUCAUCAUCAUCUACGCUUGUUUAAGUUUGAUGUAGCUAGAUUCGAGAUAUUAGUAAAUAGUUUGUUUAAAUUACUUUUACAGCAUGUUUUUUUUUAUGCUUCGAAUUACGCGGACAGGAAAACAAAAAUGCUAUAGUGUUUAAUGCAGUUAUUAAUUGCAAUUCAGCAUGUCAUUCUUUUAUUGCAAUUCUACGGAAUUCCUGUUGAACCCUUAUUCAAAAUUUUAAUAAUAUUCCUUCAAAUUCAAAUUCGACUAAUUCGAACUCAAAUUAAUUUAAAUAUUAAAUUAUUCGAAACUGAAAAUAACUUAAUUUUUAAAUUAUUAAAAUAAUAAACUUAAAAUCUAAAUAUGAAAUUACUUUUUAGGAGUUUUUUUAAAAUUUAAGAGGAAGCAAAACUUACUUUCUAACUUACGAAAAGACUUUAAUUUUUUGGUUCGAGAAAAUUAUAUUUUGGCUUUAAAAUUAUUGUAAUCAUUUUUCAACUUUUUCCCUAAAACCCUUCCCUUUUUUUUCUUUUUAGAAAAAAGAAGUAAAGUGAAAAAGGUUUGCAUAAUAAAUAGAAAAAAUGAUUGAAUAAUUGAAUAAUUAUAUUCGUUCACAUUGGUUUCGACCGUUGCCUAAUUUAUUUCCUUCUUCCAUGAAUAUACUAUAUACUUUCCUUUUUUCAAAACCCCAAAUAGCCCCCCACUGACUUAAGCGGUCAGUUUCUUCCUCACGUUACCAAAACUACCCUUCAUUGUUUUACCCCGCAAAUCUCGUACUCCAAAUGAUUUGUAAUUCAUAUAUUAAUAUUUAUUAGCGUACCAAAUUUUAUAAUAAUAAUAUUUUAAUUAUAAUUAUAGUAAAUAAAUAUAAUAUAAAUAUACAUAAAUCUCGCAACAAAUGGAAAUGGUUAAAUCUUUGUCAUGUCAAGAUACUAAUUUUGUAAUCUGAAAGACAGUUAAAUUUAAAUAUAAAUCGUAAAAUAAAUAUGAAAAAUAUCAUAAAAAAUAACAUAAAGAUUUAAUUAUGCAUUCAGUCUUGUAUUCUUUAGACUUUAAAAUUUUAAUAUUUUUUUAGUUUAUUUUCUAAUAAUUUAAUUGAUCUACUUGUUUAAUUUGAAAAUUAAAAUUCAAUUAAUAAGUUUGCUAGUGAAUUUUCAUUAGAUUUGUAUAUUUGAUAUUUUAAUAUUCAAAUUUUUAAUUUAAAAAAUUAAAGUACAAUUGAUAAAAAAUAUUCAAAUUUAAAAUAAUUUAGUUAAUAAUGUUAUAUAACAUUAAAUUUAUAUUUUGGCAAAGAGAGACUAAAUUCCUAGGAUUAAAAGUAGAGGGAUCAAAUAUUAAAAUUCUCAAGAGUAUAAGGACCGAGGGAGGGAUUAAACCUAAAAAUAAAAGUGCAGCAGCUUCUAGUAGUCCCCCUCUGUUUUAUCCGUGUUUAUAAUAAAGCCUUGUUUUUUACAUCUCCUGGCCCCUUUUUUCUCAUGGAUGGUUCAAAGAAAGUCAUGGAGCGCUUUGACUAUCUAUGGUUUUUCAACAAUGUGCUCACUUUAACACCACUCCACCACAAGCUCAACCCUCCCCCCACCGCACCUUCCGUCGACGUCGAUACCGGUGACGAACAAAAACCACCCAAACCCGACAUUCUUCUUCAAGAGGCAGGAGCAUCUGUCCCUGGCUCUGAGAUUCCCGUUCCGAGGUGUCCCAACUGCGGCGAAAUCGCCGUCGUCACCGACCAGCAGCGGGUGGUUCAGCCAUUAGCGAAGCCAACGGAGAAGCCCGCGGAGAGGAGGAAGAGGCGGCGGCGGAGGAGGAAACGGAGCAAGAGAAAAGUGCUGGGAGAACUUGAUUUGGGGUUCUAUGGUAAUUUGGAUUCCGAGUCUUCGUUUUCUGAAGGAACAUAUGGGUAUAAAAGCUUUGAUAGCCGACAUUAUAUCAUGAAAAUGCCUCCUUCAAACGAUGGUUUCGCCAUGAAAGAACAUCUUAAAUCAUGGGCUUAUGCUGUCGCUUGCACUGUCAGAUAAUUAUCAGUAUUUGCUACUGCUACUAAUUAUAAACUUGUCUCCAUGACUAUUGACGUUGUAUUUUUUCUUUUUUCUUUUUCGCAGCAUGUAAUUACUAAUUAGUAUGUUCUUAAUAACCAAGGUUAAUUACUUAAUUGUAGUUGUUUUGUUUUAAUUAUGGAUAUGAUAAACACUUUUAGAAUUCAAAUUCAAGCUUGAUGGGGUUAUCUCAAGAAAUUGUAGUGUUUCAAAAUUAUUGCUUUGAAUUACAUUAACUUCAAUGACAAAAAAAAUACCAAAAUCGUACGUUUUCAUUUUCUAUCCUUGCAAUGGGGAAACUUCCAAUUCCAAGGCUCCUCCACAUUUUGCCCCAACAUUUAGUAUUUUGUAGUACAUACAAGAUCAAAAGAAAAAUCAUGAGGCAUGAUUGUUAGAGUAAAGACCAAGAAACUUUCACGUGAAGGAGAAAGAUAUGUGGAUGUAUAGAAUCUACUUUGGUACGAUGAAAAAUAUAUUAAAUUUUCUGAUAAUAUAAUUACUACCCCUCAAUUACGAUUCAUGUUAUGGUUCCAGUUGAACAGCAACACAUCUUCUUUUAUGGUUCUUUUCAGGUUUAGUUUUCUUCUAAUCUUUGUUGUCAUGAGGUUGCAGGAACGGGGAGUUACUUGGUCGUGUCUGUUCGGCUUAAUCACCUGGCGAAUUUAGAAGAAUAUGAGCCUCUUAAUCUUCCAGAACGCUACUUGGUCAGCUUUUGAAAUUGUCAAAACUUCUCUUAGCACAACAAUUGACUAUGCCUUAAUGGAUACAAGAUCAACUCCCUAAAUUUGGUUGAUCAAAUGCACUUUGAAGGAACGAGAGUUCAUUUGCUCUGUGGUGGUGCAGUGGAUAGAGGCAUCGGGAGUGCUUUUGUUGGUGGUGUGAUACGCGAUCCGGUUGGUUACUGGAUUUUAGGAUAUAAUUGUUAUCUGGCCAUAUAUACAACUUUUGAGACAUAACUAUGAGGCAUUCUGGAUGAGCUUCUCAUUUUGUUAAAUAAAGGCUACAAACGGACCACAAUUCAUGCGGAUAAUCUAGAGGUGGUUCAAGUCAUGACUGUUAAGAGGUCAGAAUAUUCAAAUAUUACCUUGCUUAGAAGGGGCUAGCGGAUUAUGAAUUCUGAAUAGAACAAAUAUGUAUCUAUAGAUUGCAACUUAAUUGCGAAUCGGCUGGCUAAGGUCAAUUUAACAUGCCAAUCAAGCUUACAUAUUUUUGAUGUGCCUCCUGAUGAUGUAUUAGAGGUUCUUCAACAAGACAAAACAUAUGACGCUUUUGAGUAAUUGAUUUGAUGUAACUUUAUUUUAUUUAUUGCUAGUCAAAAGAAAAAGUUUCAUGUAAAAUUAUACAUUAAAAUAAAAUUAAUGUAUAAAUUUAAUAUUUAUGCCUAAUAAGUAUUAUUCAAAUAUUAAAAUUCAUAAAAUUUAUAUUUUAUUUAAUGGAAAAUUUUCAAAAACAUUCCUAAUAAAUUGUUUAACUAAUCAAACAUUGUAAUGUAAAUUUCUUAAAAUUUCAUAGAUACUAAAUAUAAUUUUAUCUGCAUAACAAUUGCUUUCUUAAAAAUAAUAUAAUCCAAAAAUCAUAUUUUAUUGAAAAUCUUAACAUCAAAAAUAAAAAAACCACAUCCGGUUUUCUGAAAGCAUCCAAGAAACCUCUCAUUUAUUUUUAAUUAUUUUUCUAUAUAGUAAUUAUACUACCUGUUGGAAGAAAACAGUGUUUUCACUGUUAAUUCCUCAGGCAUGCACUUCCUUACUUUUUCCCUUUUUUUUUCUUCACGUUCAACUCAUUUCACAUUUUGACCCACACCGCUCUCUAAAUCCACACCCUAAAGAUUUGUUCAUCAUUUCUAACUCCCCAGAACAAUUUUUUUACUUCGCCAUAGGUUUAGGAGAAGAAAGGUAUAUCACAUGUUAGAACUAACCAUAGAACUUACGUACCACCCAUUAAAUGAAUCGAAAUUGGGUUUUUGUCUUUUGGUAUGAACAAAAACAUGAGGAGGGUUUGUUUUUUUUUUUUUCUUCUGACAUGUUUGGUCAACUUUUUGUUUGAUUCAAGCAGAGAUGUUGUGUAAUAAACUUUAUUGCUGCCAUGUUAGAAACUGCAAAGGCCUAUCUACAUCAAGCUGCUGGUUGGGGGUAACAGAGGAGAGGGCAUUGGUGGAAUCAUUCAAAAAAAGAAACGACAUUAGCAAAAAUAAAAACUUUUUAUAGGGUAGUGACAAGUUUAUGGUAGGGCCAAAUUUGGGGUCACAUGCAAAGAUCAUUCUCGGUUUUAUUGGGAGGAAACAAGGGAAUGAUGCCCAAAAUCUAAAUAUUUAAUUUAUUCAUAAUAAUAUGUUACUUGCUAUAUAGUUACGAUUCAAAUAAAUAAAUAGAGAAGUGGGGGGUGAUAAAGUCAAAAGCAAUGAAACUAGGCAUGUUUUGCCUAAUCCAUAGCUACUACUUUAUUUUAUCAAUUGGUUUAUUGUAAUACAAAUUAGUAUUGAAUUAUUUUUCAUUAUAAAGUCAAGUUCUAUAUGGGAAAGGUUAACUAGUUGAUUAUUUUUAGUGAUUUUUGGUUUAUUGAAUGUUUAUCAGAUUUUGAUUUGUUCGAAAGUUUUUCAAGUAAGAGAUGUUUCCUCUACCACAACAAUAAAAAAUUGUUUAGAGUCUUAUCAUAUUAUGAUUGAAGAUCAAAAGUAUUGUUAAUUGAGAAAGUCAUAUUAACGUUUCGGGAUUUUUUUAUUUUAUUUUCAAUUUAAGUGAGAAAGCUUUACUCAAGCAAUGAAAGCUCUUUACUUUCGUCACGAAGUUUAGGUUGUUUGUCUUUAGUUUAGUACAGAACCAAGGCUCUCAACUACUUUCUUUGUUCAUUGUAAUCGAGUUUGCGACUUUUGUGAACUUCCGUCUCUAUGAGAUUUUUGUUCUUGGUAUGCUUGUAUUUUUUUUAAUGUGAAAUGAAUUGAACUUUUAAUAAAAAAAAUGUGAUCGUAAAAAUAUGAGUGAAAAAUUAUUUUUUUGUAAAAUAAAGUAAAUUAUCUUGGUAAUUUUUUUAAAUGAAUUAGUUUUUAAUGUCGUGAUUUUAUGCAUUUAAUUUUUAAUUAAUUUUUAAAUAACAUAUCUUUUAAUUAUUGUUACCUAUCAUCGAUAUUGAUAAUUUUUUUAAAACUUUAAAUAAUAUAUAAAAUUUGAACUAUAUAAGAAAGUAAGCUAUAAUGUUAAUUUGAAAAAAAAUAAAAUAAAAAUAAAGUAAAAUAACAUGCGUAAAUUAUAAUAGCUCAUGAUAAAUAAAAAAUAUAUUUAUCCUAAAUUAAUAAACACAAUUAAUAACAGUGCUCGAAAAGUAAUGGUUGAGAUUUGACUCUUUUUUUUUAAAAACAAACCAGGAAAACAUUUUUCAACUGCACCAAACAAAUAAUACAUAGAUAAAAGAAACAAUUUUAAGGGUGAUUGUUUCUUCGAACAACCAUUGCUUUAAUGCUUCAUUAUUUUUUAUAUAAUUCUAACUUAUUGAUACUAACAACCUCCAUUUUUUUAUCAGUAAUUUUUUUUAGAUGUUCCUUGAUUGAAUAUGUCUAACACUAUUUAUAAAGCUAAACUUAAAUUUUAAUUGAUAUAUAACUAUAAUAUUAAUUAAUUGAUAAUUAAGAUAUUUACAAUUCUAUACAAGUAAUAACUUUGUUUUACAUCAAUAAAAUUAGUGUGAUUUAAAAAAAAUUAACACAACUUUAUUAUGCUAAAAUUUUUAACUAAUAAUUGUAAAUUUAAUUAUAAUUAUAUUUAUCACAAUUUUUUCAUUUUUUAUUCUAAGAGUCCUAUUUAAGUAAUAACUCUAUUUUACAUCAACAAAAUUAGCAUAAUUUUUUAUUUUUUAAAAACACUAAUAUUAACACAACUUUUUUAUGUCAAAUUUUUUAACUAAUUACAAUUAUCACAAAUUUUUUUAUAUUUUAUGUUUAAAGUUCUAUUCAACUAAUAAUUUUAUUUUUAAAAUUAGCGUAAAUUUUUUAACUAAUAAUUCUAAAUUAAAUUAUAAUUAUUUCUAAAACUAAUUCAGUAAUAUGAUAGAAAAUAAAAGAUAUUAUAGAUAUUUUUCCAAUUCGUGCUUUUAUAUAUAUUAUAGAUGUUUUUUUGAGUUAAUUGCACAUUUGCACCAGACAUCCUCGAAAUAUGAUCUCCAUUCUAAAUUGAUCUCCAAACUACAAACUAUUGAUGUUAUAUUAAUCAUGUCUUUCUGUUAUUAAAAUAGUUAAUUUAACCAUUAAAUAACAUAUCAAAUCUUAUGUAGCAUAAUUUAAAAUGAAAAUUUCAUUAAGGAUGUUUAGGGAUGCAAUUAGAACGUUUUAAAGUUUGAAAACUAAUUUAGAAUGAAAGUUAUAGUUUGAGGAUGUAUAGAUUAAUUCUAAUUUUUUAUAUCAUUAUUUUUACAAUUUUAAAAUGAAAUUUUCUUUUUUAUUAUCAAUUUUCAAUAAAUUUAAUUAAUUUCUUUUUAAAAAAUCAAUCAGCUGCUUUAUGAUAUGUUUGUUUAAUAAAAAAUAAAUUAAAAUUUGUCGAAAAAUUAAAUAAAUUCUAUUUAAAAGAAUAAAUAAUUCUUCUAAUUUCAGUGGUAAUUUUUGUUUUUAACAUCUUGAAUCUAAAGCUAUCAAUCUAAUAGUUUUAUAUAUAUGUUUAAAAUUUGAUAUGAUAAUUUUAAAUAUGCUCCAUGUCAGAUAAAAAAGUAGCAUUUCACUCCUAUGCUAAUGCUAGGCUAAAAGGACUUGAUUGAUAUGAAAUUAAUAUUUAGAGGACUCAAUUAGAACAUUUUGAAUUCUAGAGCGAUUUAGAAUCUUGGUCAUAGUUUGGGGGCGUAAAGUGAAAUUAACCCUUUUCUUUAAGAAUAAGAAACUGGGCUUAAUGUGGGCUCAUGCUCAAGCCCAAUCUAGCUUCACAGUGGACCGUUAAGCCACUAUUGUUCUCUGCUGAACUGACUUCCUAGAAAAUCAAACCGCAAAGCCAGAGUCCAUUAGAAACGCAAAACAAGAGAGAAGGAAACCGGCGAGACAAAGUCGAAGGCGGAGAAGCGCCGCAGAUGACGGAGCCAAGACGAUUGAGAGGACACAAGGCUACCGCCACUUGCUGUAUCGCCUCACGUGACAAGCCCGGCCUCGUCGCCACUUCCGGCGAAGUAACCCCUACACUCGUCUUCUUAAUCUCCUUCGAAUUUCAAUUUUCACUGAAACUUGUCUGUUUUAAUAAUAUUAAAAAAAUUAAUUUUUAAAUUAGGAUGGUUGCAUUUGUUGGUUUGAUAUGCGAUGCAAAGAUGUGAAAUUUGUUAUGGAUGUUAGCAAUGAACCAAUUUCAUCCCUUUGCUUCAACUCAGGUCAUUUUCUAUCAUUUAAAAAAAAAAUUCUUAAUGCAUUUCUAAUUGAUUUUUCUUUUAAUUACUUAUUAUUAUUUAUUCUUGGCAUCAAAUGCAGGAAAUGAGAAUAUCAUCUAUGUUUCAACUGGAAAUGAGGUCAAGUCCUUUGAUGUGCAUAUGGUAAAUUUAUAUUCCUAUGACUGCUUUUGUUUUGAUUACAUUUGAAAUUUGCUUAUAAAUUGUUCGUUUAUAGUUAGCAGAUAACUCAUGGAAGCCUUUGGAGAGCUAUAACUAUAAUAAAGAGGAGAUAAAUCAGGUAGAAAUUUGAGAUUUUUUUGGGAAAGAAAUUUAAAGGUGCUUUAGUUUAUGAAUUUGUAAAGUUUAGUAUGUGUUGGCAUAUUAUAUUUUUUUAUGUUUAUGCAGGUUACUUGUAAUUCCAGAUCAUCUUUCCUUGCAUCUGCGGAUGAUGGCGGUGAGAUUAAGGUAAUUCGAUUUUCAUUAGUUUAAUGGUCUGUCUUAUGCUAGUAAUAUAAAUUAUUAUUGCCAUGAAGAAUUUAUUUGUUGGUUUAUUUAACUGAUAAUGUUAAAAUUAUCAAUGAAUAAUAUAUCUAAUGUCAUACGUGCAGAUUUGUAGUUUUGUUUUCUAGAUAGAUAUUGUUUGAAUUUUAACAUUUUAGCCUCGUAUGGUCAUAUAUGUUGCAGAUCAUUGACAUUCAUCAGAAACGUAUUUUCAAGACAUUGAGAGCCGGACAUACAAGUGUAUCCUUACUCUUUAAGCCAUUUGCCUGUUCCUAUUGUGUAUGAUAAUUUAAUGUCCUGUGAUAUAUGAACUGAAAUUUCCUGGCUCUCUAUUUUAUUUCUGGAAAGUUUCCCUUCGAGCCCUUGUUUUUACAGUGAGACUUUUAUUGACUUGUUAUUAUGGUGAUCCGAAAUGGGGGGAUUAGAAGGUGGUUAGCUAUUAAUUUCUGGUUGGAGUUAGCUUGAAUCUUUAUCCUUCUUUCAUAUCUUUCUCGCCUUAACACAUCACAGAUUUGCAGCAGUGUUCAGUUCAUUCCUUGGAGACCUUGGGAAAGUAGGUCUUUAAGGUUUUAUAGUACUCUUUAAAAUCUCUAACUUCGUUUUCUCUUAGCUGUCCAUUACAGUUAUUCUAUUUGAAUGACGGUUCAUAAUAUUUUUACUCUAUUUUAAUGUGGCAGUCGUUACAGGAGGUCUUGAUUCGAAGUUUAUCAUAUGGGACUUCUCAAAAGGGCGCCCAUCCAAAAUUGUGGAUUUUGGUAUAUAUGUCUUAAAAAUUCUUUGUUUCAUGGUUCUAUGGAGGUUCUUCAAAUAUUAAAUGUGUCAUAUCUACAGCAUUUUUAUAAUAUCAUUGACAAUGAACUUAAGCUGGUGCAUAUUUGCUCAUUGUGAUUAUUCUAGACAAACACAAGGCUAGUGCAUGUUCAAUUCUCGUAUUUUUGCCCCUUCACUGCAGGCCUGGCCGACAUGCGUAGUGGUAGUAAUGCUGGACAAUGUUUAAAUCCAGCUUUUGUUCACUCAGUAAAAGUCCCAGAUGUUGAUAUGUUGGACAAAAUAGGCAAGAUAUGUGUUGUGGCAAGGGGUGAUGGUGUUAUUGAUGUGAUUAAUACGGAAUCAGAACUUACAGCCACAAAACCUAAAAGUUCCACGAAAUCUCGAAAAGGAACUCAGUCCAAAGGAAGUGACGGUGGAGUUCCCGAUGAAAAUGGAAGAAAAUGGUUGCAUUUAGAUUACUCUUUAGGUGGUCAUACUGCUGCCGUGUCUUGCGUGACAUUUUCGUUGUUUGGAGAGAAGGGGAAGUUCCUUGUAUCGGGUGGAAACGAUAAGUUAGUCAAAGUCUGGGAUUGCUCUAGGUGUCUCGAUUCAUGGCAGACAGGAGAUACCAACGAGCUGCUACAUUUGAAUAUCAAUUUAACCAAAAAGGUGAAUCUCAUUGCUUCAUGUACUGUAUAUGUUCAAUUUCUCUUCGGAGCUUCUCGUUUUUAACCACUUCUGUUGUCAGGUAAAUUGGCUCUGUACAACUCCAGCUGAAUCGGACAACCUCGUUGUCUGUGACACAACUAAACUUGUGAAGGUGUACAGUGUUUCCUAAACCAAAGCUGCAGAAUCAUCACGUGAGGUUUGUCAUUUAUUACUGUUUCUGGAGUAUGUUGUUGCCAAAGAUUGACAUGGCAUCGGGAGCACUAGGAAAUUAUGUAAGCUUGAAAUAGUUGGUUAUGUUGAGUAUUAUCUUUGUUGAAGAAAAUACAAAGGAAACAAAUAUGAUCCCAUAGCUGUUACCGUGUUGAUGUAAAGUUGAUACUGCAAAUUUUGGAGUAGUUCAUUCCUUUACCUUUCAUCCCUUGUGAACAAGUAAGCUGACUCUUUUCAUUUCAUUAUACUUACCAUUGGACUACAAAGCAAAAAUAAGUAUUGUAGCUUGAUAAACAAAGGUUAUGUAACCCACACAAAUAUAAUCAUUUAUUUGUUUUGCUUAAAGGAUCUUUUAUUUAUUUAAUAUUAUUUGAACAUGACUCUCACGAGAAAAAUAGGUUAAACUCUGCUCUUUGUGUAAGUUGUGGAUUUAAUUUUUAUACUCUGAUUUGGUUAGUUUUAGUCCCAUGCAUUUUGAAUUAGGCAAUUUUACUCUUAUACUUUUCAAAAUUUAAAAUUUGGUUUUGCUACUAGUGAAUUUGGUUUUUAUUCUCCAAUUUGAUCAUUAUUAGUUCUUAUGCUUUUUGAAUUUUUCAAUGUUAACUUAGACGAUAACCGUUAAACUUAUUAAUUAAAAUAGCUUGGUUUUUCUAUGAAUAUUAUAUGAAAAUAAUAAUCUCACAUAAUAUAUGUUUGUAGUAUAAGAUGAUGUUUGUAGUAUAUGUUUGUAGGCGGGGUCUUGCCCCCAAUGGCCAAGCCAAGAAAUUAUUUGGAGAGCCAAUAUUAAUUAAAAAUUUAGAGGACAAAGUGUAAUUUUAUUAUUAUAUUAAUUAGUAAUUUUUUAAAAAUUACAGAGACUAUAAAGAAUUUUUCAUUUUGGGACAAGUCACUGCCUGGUCCCUCUCCCUACUCGCCCCUUAUUUGAAUGGAAUGAUAACAAUUUUAGUCCCUCUCAAUUAAAAAUAGUUUAAUUCAACCCUUUUUAAAACAAAAUUUUUAGCUUCACUUCUCCAACUUUUAUAAUUUUAUUUUGACCUCCAAUACUAAAUUCUUGGCUUUGCUCUUGAAAAUAAUAGAAUUUAACUUAAUAAAUUUAAAAUUAUUAUUUAAUUAAGAUCAAAAUUUUAAAAAUUGGAAAGUAUAAAUAAUAAAAAUGAACAGAUUAAGAUAUAAAAAUCACGCAUAGAACGAAAAUUAAGAUCGGGAUUUGACUAAAAAAUAUAAGUCUUCAAUCAGGCUGAAUAGAAUAUGCAAUUUUGGGUAGCAAAAUCAAUGUCAGAAAACAGAGGUCCAUGACAACAGCUAUGUGGUAGGGACAAUCUGGUCUGGCCAAAUUUUGGUACAUGUUUGGUUUGGUGUCACUCCUCUUCCAUUCCUGACUCAUUAUUUUAACCUUCUCUUUUUCAUUUUUUAAAUCAUAAUAAUCUUAAUUUGUUGGUUAUAUACCCAGUUGAAUAAUGUUUAUUUGCUUCUUUUUCCAAUUUAUGAUCUUUGCUUUUCAACUUACUAGAUAUGAUAUUUUUCUUCUAUUUUCUGAAAUCUCCAAAUUUAUGAGACAGUAAAUUAAUGCGAGGCGUAUUAUUUAUGGUUCAACAGUGACAUGCAUUUAGAAAAGGGUGAAAUUAUUUAUUAGUUAUUAUACUAUGUGUAAAUUGUAGAUUUAGUCUAUAGACAUUAAUUUGAUCAUUUUUAAUAUAUUUAUUUUUUAAAUUUUGAAAUUCCGGUCUUGACAAAAUUGUGAUGGUUAAAUUUGUUAAGUUAUGUUAUUUUCAAAUUUUAUGCGGCAAAUAUAUUAUCACAUGUAUUAUAAAUACGUAGGGAUGGAUCUUGACAUUGAGUUUUCUUUUGAGGGGUGAUUGACUAAAAUUUUUAAAAAUUUUGAAGGUUUUAAUGAGAAUUUUCAAACAAUUUUGUAUGUUUAACUAAAACUUUCAAAAAAAAAAUUUUGAAAGGUUUAAUGAGAAUUUCAAAAAUUUUGAGCGGGCUAAUUAAAAUUUUCAAAAAAUGUAUAAUAAAAAAAUUCAAAAACUCUUUGAGGUCAUAAAGAUCAUCAGCCCCUGUAAAUACGUCAGCUUGUUGUUUCCUCAUAUUACUCAUAGAAAAAUCAUGUUAUUUUAAUUAACAGAUUUAAUGGCUAUCAUUUGAUUUAGGAGUAAAAUCUAAAAAUUCGAAAAGUAUAAAAACUAAAAAUGAUUAAAUUGAAGAACAUUAAUUAAAUCAACAAUUUACCAGACCAAUAACAGAAUUUUGAGUUAACAAAUUUAACUGCUACAAUUUGGUUUAAAACCGAAAUUUCAAAAUCCAAAAAGUAUAGGGACUAAAAUUGAUCAAAUUAGAGUACAUGGGUUAAAUUCACAACUUACUUAUAGUACAAGGAUUAAUAGCAUAAUUUCACCUUAGGCAAAUGCCAGUUAGUUAAAGAUGUACCUUGCCCAACCGAAAGCUUCCUUAAACUUCCCGCAAUUUUUUAAAUUUCUUUUUCCCUUAGAAAAAAGAAAAAAAAAAUGUAAGCUUUGCUUGUCAGAGAUUUCUCUGCAAAUACAUUGACACCAACAACCCACCCUCCAUUACACUACCAACCGGCCUUCCCCUUCAACCUUUCUUCACCAUUACAACAUGCCUAUCUCCACCCUUAGCCCAACAUGCACUUAUAUCUUGUGUUUGGUUGUUUUUCUUUUUCAUAUAAAAACACACAACAAGACACAAAGGUAUUGAGAGAUAAGUAGAGGGAAAGACCCUUUGGUUAGCAUAUUGUUUGUAGCAUUGGGUUUUUCUCAAGGAAGAAGAAGGAGAAAGAUAAGUAAUGUUUUUGAGAAUGAUGGAAUCUGGGGUUCCUGUUUGCCACACUUGUGGUGAACAUGUUGGGUUGAAUGUUAAUGGUGAACCCUUUGUGGCUUGCCAUGAGUGUAAUUUCCCUAUUUGUAAGAGUUGUUUUGAGUAUGAUCUUAAGGAAGGACGAAAAGCUUGCUUGCGUUGUGGUAGUCCGUAUGAUGGUACAUUUCAUUUUAAUUCUUGAUGCUAGUUUUUUACUUGUUUCCAUUUGGUUCUUGAUAAAUCUUUGUUAUAAUCUUGUGUUUGCCAAGUGCUUGUUUGAUUUCCCAUGAAAAAGAUAAAGAUAGAGAAGUUGUAAACUGAUUGCACGACUGAUUAUUGUGAACUCCUCAGAAAACCUGUUGGACGAUGUCGAGAAGGCCACCGGCGAUCAAUCGACAAUGGCUGCACAUUUGAGCAAGUCUCAGGUAUUGUUUUUUGCUGCUUUUGAAAGGUUCAGUCAAAGCCAGGAGGGAUAUUGAGAGCUUUGUGUUAUUCAUGUUGGUUUAUACAGGAUGUUGGAAUUCAUGCAAGACAUAUCAGCAGUGUGUCUACAUUGGAUAGUGGUAUGUAAUAUAAAUUUCUUUCCAUAUUAUUGGUUUCUUUCUUUCAAUUUCCUUCAGUUCUGAAAGCUCGAAUCGUCUCGUAAAAUAUCGUAGAAAUGACUGAAGACAAUGGGAAUCCGAUUUGGAAGAACAGGGUGGAAAGUUGGAAAGAAAAGAAGAACAAGAAGAAGAAGCCUGCAACAACUAAGGUUGAAAGAGAGGCUGAAAUCCCACCUGAGCAACAAAUGGAAGAUAAACCGUAAGUAUUUAAUUAGAAAAGCCUUGCUUGAUUUUGAAAUAUACAAAGCAGAUUAAUGAUAAGAGCCUAUUUAGUGAAAUGAUUUUUGUUUAUGUUAUGUGUUACUGAUAUGUAAUAUUUGCAUCUGCAGGGCACCGGAUGCUUCCCAGCCCCUCUCGACUAUAAUUCCAAUCCCGAAAAGCAGACUUGCACCAUACCGAACCGUGAUCAUUAUGCGAUUGAUCAUUCUCGGUCUUUUCUUCCAUUAUCGAGUAACAAACCCCGUUGACAGUGCUUUUGGACUGUGGCUCACUUCAGUCAUAUGUGAAAUCUGGUUUGCUUUUUCCUGGGUGUUGGAUCAGUUCCCUAAGUGGUAUCCUGUUAACAGGGAAACAUACAUUGACAGACUAUCUGCAAGGUAACCAAUACCAUUAAUGAUGCUAAUAACAUAAGUUAUCUUAUUUCAGCUGAUUUAGUAUCAUAAUUAUGUAACAUAUGGAUUGUUACUAAGCUUGUUGGAUACCAUGGCAGAUAUGAAAGAGAAGGUGAACCUAAUGAACUUGCUGCAGUUGACUUCUUUGUGAGUACAGUGGAUCCAUUGAAAGAGCCUCCAUUGAUUACUGCCAAUACUGUGCUUUCCAUCCUUGCCUUGGACUACCCUGUAGAUAAGGUCUCUUGUUAUAUAUCUGAUGAUGGUGCGGCCAUGCUGACAUUUGAAUCUCUAGUAGAAACAGCCGACUUUGCAAGAAAGUGGGUUCCAUUCUGCAAAAAAUUUUCCAUUGAACCACGGGCACCUGAGUUUUACUUCUCACAGAAGAUUGAUUACUUGAAAGAUAAAGUGCAGCCCUCUUUUGUAAAAGAACGUAGAGCUAUGAAAGUAAGUUCCUCAAGCUUCUUUAGCAGCAUUUCUUGAAUAUCCAUAGCACUUAGAUGUUGUAAUAAUUUCCUUUCAACUUUGGUUACAGAGAGAUUACGAAGAGUACAAAAUUCGAAUCAAUGCUUUAGUUGCAAAGGCUCAGAAAACACCUGAAGAAGGAUGGACAAUGCAAGAUGGAACUCCUUGGCCGGGAAAUAACCCGCGUGAUCACCCUGGCAUGAUUCAGGUUUUCCUUGGAUAUAGCGGUGCUCGUGACAUCGAAGGAAAUGAACUUCCCCGACUGGUUUACGUCUCUAGAGAGAAGAGACCUGGCUACCAACACCACAAAAAGGCUGGUGCUGAAAAUGCUUUGGUGGGUUAUACAUGAUACAAUACCAGACUUUCAUAAAGAUAGAUUAAAUAUUUUCUGAGUUGCAACUGACAUGAAUAGCUUGUUACAGGUUAGGGUGUCUGCAGUUCUUACAAAUGCUCCCUUCAUCCUCAAUCUUGAUUGUGACCACUAUGUUAACAAUAGCAAGGCAGUUAGGGAGGCAAUGUGCUUCUUGAUGGACCCACAAGUCGGUCGAGAUGUCUGCUAUGUGCAGUUUCCUCAAAGAUUUGAUGGCAUAGAUAGGAGUGAUCGAUAUGCCAAUCGGAACACAGUUUUCUUUGAUGUAAGAUCAAAGAUAAAGCCAAUUUUCUGCUUAAGUGCUUCUGACAGUUUUAAACCUCUUGAGUUCUGACAAUUCAUCCAAAUUUAAACUUCAGGUUAACAUGAAAGGUCUUGAUGGGAUCCAAGGGCCUGUUUAUGUGGGAACAGGUUGUGUUUUCAAUAGGCAAGCACUUUAUGGCUAUGGUCCACCUUCAAUGCCAAGUUUUCCCAAGUCAUCCUCCUCAUCUUGCUCGUGUUGCUGCCCCGGCAAGAAGGAACCUAAAGAUCCAUCUGAGCUUUAUAGGGAUGCAAAACGGGAAGAACUUGAUGCUGCCAUCUUUAACCUUAGGGAAAUUGACAGUAAGUCCAAAAUCUCUCAGAAAAUUAUAGUUAGAUUAAUUCUUUACUAAGCUCAUGACUUGUUGACAUAUCUCUGGUUUUGUUUAUGCAGAUUAUGAUGAGUAUGAAAGAUCAAUGUUGAUCUCUCAAACAAGCUUUGAGAAAACUUUUGGCUUAUCUUCAGUCUUCAUUGAAUCUACACUAAUGGAGAAUGGAGGAGUGGCUGAAUCUGCCAACCCUUCCACACUAAUCAAGGAAGCAAUUCAUGUCAUCAGCUGUGGCUAUGAGGAGAAGACUGCAUGGGGGAAAGAGGUUGGAACUUUUAUUCUUAACUAUCAUAUUGCCAAAAUUGAUAUCUUUAUUGACCUUUCUUCCCUGCAUAGAGGCCUUGAACUACAUUAAAACUUUCUAUAUUUUUGCUCAGAUUGGAUGGAUAUAUGGUUCAGUCACUGAGGAUAUCUUAACCGGCUUCAAAAUGCACUGCCGAGGAUGGAGAUCGAUUUACUGCAUGCCCUUAAGGCCAGCAUUCAAAGGAUCUGCACCCAUCAAUCUGUCUGAUCGGUUGCACCAGGUUCUUCGAUGGGCUCUUGGAUCUGUUGAAAUUUUCCUAAGCAGGCAUUGCCCUCUAUGGUAUGGCUUUGGAGGUGGUCGUCUUAAAUGGCUUCAAAGACUAGCAUAUAUAAACACCAUUGUCUAUCCUUUCACAUCCCUUCCACUCAUUGCCUAUUGUUCACUACCAGCAAUCUGUCUUCUCACAGGAAAAUUUAUCAUACCAACGGUAAUGAAUGCUAGUAAUACAUGUCUUCUUUUUUGAGUUUUCAAUACCAUAUAUAUGCUUCCACUGCUUCACAUUUUCUAAUUUGAUGAUCAGCUCUCAAACCUGGCAAGUGUUCUCUUUCUUGGCCUUUUCCUUUCCAUUAUCGUGACCGCUGUUCUCGAGCUCCGAUGGAGUGGUGUCAGCAUCGAGGACUUAUGGCGUAACGAGCAGUUUUGGGUCAUCGGUGGCGUUUCAGCGCAUCUCUUUGCCGUCUUCCAAGGUUUCCUUAAGAUGCUUGCAGGCAUUGACACCAACUUUACUGUCACUGCCAAAGCAGCUGAUGAUGCAGAUUUUGGUGAGCUCUACAUUGUGAAAUGGACUACACUUUUAAUCCCUCCAACAACACUCCUCAUCGUCAACAUGGUUGGUGUCGUUGCCGGAUUCUCUGAUGCCCUCAACAAAGGGUACGAAGCUUGGGGACCACUCUUUGGCAAAGUGUUCUUUUCCUUCUGGGUCAUCCUCCAUCUUUAUCCAUUCCUCAAAGGUCUUAUGGGACGGCAAAACAGGACACCAACCAUUGUUGUCCUUUGGUCAGUGUUGUUGGCUUCUGUCUUUUCUCUUGUUUGGGUUCGGAUCAACCCGUUUGUCAGCACCGCCGAUAGCACCACCGUGUCACAGAGCUGCAUUUCCAUUGAUUGUUGAUAUAUUUUGUGUUUCUUAGAAUUGAAAUCAUUGCAAGUUGACUGAAACAUGUCUAUUGACUAAGUUUUGAACGGUUUGUACCCAUUUUAUUCUUAGCAGUGUGUAAUUCUCCUAAACAAUGCUAUGAACUAUACAUAUUUCAUUGAAAUUUACAUUAAAUGAAACUACAUCAGUCUACAGAUUUUACCUGUUCUAAUGUUUAUGAUAUAUAAUAUUGUACCUAAAUACAUUUGAUGCUGAUUAUGUAUGAAAUAAUGACACGUCAUCAAAAAAAGCCUUCUGUAAUGAUAACACUUCGAUUAAGAAUGGAUUGCAAGUUACAUCAAAUUCUAGUGUAAAUUAUAAAGAAAAGAAUCCCUUGUGCAAUGAUAACACCCAAAUCUCUAAACUAAGCAAAACUAAUAUGGUUACAUGUAUACUUUAUCAUUACAAUGAAACCCUAUUCUUUGUACAAGAAAAUUCAUUCUAACUCUUGUAUUUUUUUCUAAUAUUUGUAAAAUAAAAUUUAUUUAUAGAAAAUUUCAAGUAAGUGUAAAAAAGGGUUUUAAGUCCUUACAAGUUAACCAAGGGUGGAACCUUCUUUUUAUUUUUUCUUUUCUUGUAAUUUAGACAAGGAUAGACCCAAGGGAAAUUACCACUUUUGUAGGGUAGUGGAGAUGAAAAUGGCAGAAAAUAGCUGGAAGCUGGACUCCACGAAAAUACAGCUUAUAAGAAAAGUAUAUUAUAUAUACCUUUUAACCGACAUCUGCAUUUAAUUUUGUUUUUUAAAAAUACUUUCUGAAAUACCUUGCAUAAAAAGUUUAAAGAUUCUAACUUUGACCCAUGCAUUGUAUUUGUUUUGUACACCCAUAAAUAACAUAAAGGGUUAAUUCUGGUUUUAGUACAUCUAUUAUACUACAAACAUAAUUUGGUCCUUAUUUCCAUAAUGACUUUGGUAGGUAUAAGUUGAUAACAUCAUUAGCUUAUGCUAUUAAAAUGAUGAAGUUACUUUUUUUUGUUAUUAUUCGAUCGUAUAGUUAAAAUUACGUGUCAAUUAAAUGCUUAAUAUUUUUUUUAAAAAUAUUUUAUCACUUAAUAGUAACAAUUAAUAAUGUUAUUAGUUGGAUCUAUUAAUGACACUAUAAAAGUCUCAUGAUUUAGCUACUGAAUUAUACAUAUUUUCUCACAUUUAUACUUAAAAUUUUUUAUUUCAAUUUGAUAUCCAACUAUAACUUUUGUUGUCAAUAAGAAUGUGACACAAAGCACUUUUUUAUUGGAUGCCAAUAAAUAUUUUUGGGUAAAAUGAAAAGAAAAUGAUAGUUUAGCGGCUAAAUUGUGACUUAAACCUAAAAGUAAAAUAAUUAAAUUAUGUAAAAUUAAAAUUUAAGGAUUAAAUAUUUAUUUUUAGUAUAAUAUAAGGACUAAAACCAUAAUUAAGCCUAACAUAAAAAUCUUGUAUUGGAUGUUAAUAAACAUAAUCCAAUCCCUCCCCACUUAUUUGUUGUGUUGUGUUGUGUUCUGUCUUUUCCUCUAUCACUUCACUUCCCAAGUUCCAACGUCACUAAAGCUUACUGCUUGCUCUCUAGUCUCUACCAUGAAGCCACCACCACCAUCCCUCAACUCACUACCACUCUUCCUCUUCCUCCUCCUCUCCGCCGUCAUCUCCGCCGCUACCACCACCACAAAUGCCACCUCUAAACUUCCCCCUGCUCCUUCCCCCACCACUGAAACUCCCUCUUCUUCUUCCUCCUCCUCUUCUACUCUAGACCCUAAACAAAUUGAAGCACUUGAAUCCCUCAACAUUCCCACCGCAAGAGACCCUUGCAUCCAACCUUCCCCUCACAACGCCACCGUUUGUGACAGCUCUAAGCCCUUUCGCCACCUCGUUUCCCUCCACCUUUCCAACUGCUCCUCUGACCUUUCCCUCUCUUUCACAGCUCUCAAGUCCCUCUCUUCCGUCCAUUCUCUUUCCUUCACGAACUGCCACACAUCCUCUAUUCGCUUCCCUUAUGAUCUUUCCCUUUCCCUCACUUCCUUCACCUGCAUUCGCUCCCUCCGCCGCCUCACCGGAGUCUGGCUCUCACGUUUCGUUAACUUAACCGAUCUCACAGUUUCCUUCACUCCGGUUAACACUAGCGGCCUUUAUGUAAUCCUUGGGAACAUGCAUAAGCUGAAAACAAUAACCAUUUCUCAUGCUAAUCUCACCGGUUCUCUUCCACGGCACUUGCAUCUGAACCUGACCCAUGUUGAUUUAUCUGAUAACAAGCUCAAAGGAAACAUACCAACUUCCCUUACACUUCUUGAAGAUCUUGAAUACUUGAAUCUUUCAUCAAAUGGGUUAAAUGGGGAGAUUCCCACUGAGUUUGGUGACUUGAUAUCGUUAAGAAACCUAUCUUUAGCUUCCAAUUCAUUUUCUGGUUCAAUCCCAGAGUCGAUUUCUGCUAUUCCAGGCUUGGUUCAUGUUGAUCUGAGUAAUAACCAGUUAAAUGGCACUGUCCCAAGGUUUUUCUCACAGUUGAAAGGCUUGAAAGUCUUGAACCUCGAGAACAAUGAACUUCAUGGGGUUUUACCAUUCAAUGCUAGUUUCAUAAAGAAAUUGGCUGUUUUCAAGGUUGGUGGGAAUAGCAAUUUGUGUUACAACCAUUCUGUUUUGUCAUCAAAAAUGAAGCUUGGGAUUGCUCGUUGUGAUAAGCAUGGAUUGCCUAUGUCACCUCCUCCUUCUAAGGAGUCUUCUGGUGAUAGUGACUUGUCAGAUUAUGAAGAUGAUAGUGCAGACGAUACAAGUGAAAACAAGGAGCAUCAUCACGGGCCAAAUAAGGUUGUUCUUGGUGUUGCAAUUGGACUUUCUUCCAUAGUUUUCCUUAUUGUUUUCUUAGUUCUUCUCUCAAAAUGGUGUGGUUGAACAAAACAGUAGUUUCGAUCAUUGGUUAGAUUUUUCAUAGUUUGCCAUUUAUUUAUUACUGAUAUUUGAUACACUUGAUUUGUGAUAAACGAGGGGGGAAAGUAGCUAUAGGAGGCAGAGGAAUCAUUGAACUGGUAUGGUAUUCUUUUUUGCUGAUAUUUUUGGCCAUUAGCAGUGGUUUCCAUUUUUUUACGAGGUUGUGGUCAAUGAAAGGUGUAUAAGGAGUUGCUAAUGAAAUGUGUCAAUGUUAGUCUUUUAAAAUAUGUAUUCUUCAACUUCAAGCAUUUGCUUUUUGACACCAUUUUUAUGAUUUUAUCAUUUCUGAUAAUUCACUCUGCUUUACUUUAAUCGAUUUGUUAUCCAACUGUGUUGUCUAACAUUAAUCUAAAAGGUUUCUAAAUAUUAAUAUCAAUGCCAAGAGAAAAGUUGAAAUGUGAGCUUUCCCCUGUAAGAACGACCAAAGUAUCGUCUUCUGCGGCUACUGUUCUAGAUCUUGUCUCUCAUUUAAAGCUGUUACAGUUCUUGAAAUAUCAAUUAACCACAUAUUACUGUUGAUCUUUUGCGAAUUCAGGCUCAAAACUGUAUGUUGUGGCAUAUACCUGUUGGACGAUCUUCUUUGUUACUAUAAACUUGGAGAUAAUGAUUAAAAGCCAAGUUGUUGGUGUUGGUGGAUGAAUUUGUGGAUGUUAAUUUAUUGUGAUAAAAAUGAUGAAACAUUAUGACAGAUCCAACUGUUAUGGUUCCUGCAAUAGUUUUGAUGGUUGGAUCCCAGUUGCUGUUCAGCUGUGUGUCCUGGAUACUAGUUUCGUGGUUCUUACUUACUCAAAAAAGGACCACACCACGUGGAUGUAUGGCCCCAAAGCCGUCAUCAUGGCCAGGUUGCUGUGACCUUACUUUACUAGUAAGCUUAACAUCGUACUGGCUAAUUAUUUACGAUGCUUAAAUCUUCGUUGACAUAGAAUUCGGGAUUAAAAAAAAAAGUUGUUAAUCUACAGCCUAGUGUUAAGGAUAGAGUAGUUACUCAAGUUGUUAGCCUUUAGCUAAGGCUGUUAGCAAGUUUGUUAUAAGCAGUUACUCCUUAGCUUUCUACAAAUAUGAUAAGCUCAGUGUACAAAGAUGAGUUUUGGAAGCAAAUACAGAAUUAAGUUUUCUUCUAAUUAGCCUAGUCAUUAUUCGCAAGUCAAUAUAGUUCUGUGUUAGUUCGGUGUUUUACCUGAGUUUCUUCACCUAGUCACCAGAAGCCUCUGCAAGAACAAUAUCCAUCCUUAAAAUGGUGAAACCGAUUCGAAUCUCUCAGCACAAUUUCUCUUCUGGUUUCCUUGGACAUGAACUUGGCCAUUUCAUGACAAUCACCGCAUACUCGGAGAUUCUUGGUAACCCGUAUUGUUUUUCGAGGUGGUAAGGUUAAUAACCCAAAAGCCAUGGCUAAUUUCUCACUGUGACCACAAAGAGCCAUUUCUUUUUGCAUCUCAUCUGCAUUAAUCAAAGCAUACUUAGUUUUAGGAAAAUGGCCUUCUUCCUUCAUCUUCCUUCUCAUCUUCUUUAGCAAAGAUUCAAUGUUCUUGGAAUGUGGGUGUGAGCUAUUAUUUCCACUCACAAAGAGAUUAACUUUUCCCUUUAUCUCUAUCCAACUGCAACCUGGGUUCUUUCUUAGGCCUUGCUUCCCUAUCUUCUCUCUCAGUCUUUUCACUUCCUCCCAUUUUUCUGCUUCUGCAUAGAUAUUUGCUAACAGUACAUAGUAGCCUGAGUUUUCCGGCUCUAGCUCGAAGACACGUUCUGCAACUUUCUCGGCUAAUUCAAUAUCAUGGUAAUUCCUGCAACCGCAAAGCAAAGCUCCCCAGAUUGUGGCAUCUGGUGCAAUAGGCAAUGUUUCGAUGAAUUCGUAUGCCUUUGAAAGGUUACCAGUUCGAGAAAGAAGAUCUACCAUGCAGGCAUAGUGUUCCAAUUUCGGUUCGAUGUUGAAAUCAUUUUUCAUUAUGUAGAAGAAUCUCCAACCUUGCUCGAGUAGUCCGGAAUGGCUGCAGGCAUACAGUAUAGAUAUGAAGGAGACUUCAUCUGGCUCGAUUCCCGCAUCUCUCAUCUUGUUGAAGGUAGCGAUAGCUUCAUUUCCAUACCCAUGCAUACCAUAACCAGCGAUCAUGACCGUCCAUGAGACUAAAUCUUUUGAAGGAAUCAUAUCAAAAAGUAAACGUGCAAGACCUAGAACUCCACACUUGACAUAUAGGUCGACAAGUGCAUUGGCCACAUGUCGAUCCGAAGAAUACCCGUUUCUCAAUAUGUAACCAUGGAUCUCUUUGCCUCUUUCUAGAGCAGAUAGGCUGGCACAUGCAGGAAGAACACAUGCCAUAGUUCUACUGUCAGGUUUCAGUUCUUCGAGCAUUGCAGCAAACGUUUUAAGUGCUUCAUUGGGAAGACAAUUCUUCGAGUAACCUCCGAUCAUGGUAUUCCAAGAAAUAAUGUCCUUCACAACCAUCGUCGAAAAAACAGAGUUUGCAGCUUCCAUGCUUCCACAUUUAGCAUACAUAUCCAUCAAUGCAUUACACACAAACAAAUUGGAUUCCAUGUUAUUUGCCUUGAUGUAAUCAUGUACAUCCUUGCCAUUAUCCAAUGAACCACUUCUAGCACAAGCAUGUAGAAUGCUUGUAAUAGCAACCACAUCUAGUUUAACACCUUCCUUCUCCAUUUGUUGAAGCAAUUUGAUGGCUCCAUCAGACCGGCCAUCUCGGGUGUAACCUGCUAUCAUGGAAGUCCAUGACACGACAUUUCUUUCACCCAUCUUCUCAAAAACCCUCAAGGCACCAUCAAGAUCACCACAUUUUGAAUACAUGUCCAGUAAAGUAUUACUAAAGUUGAUUCUCCUCUCAAAACUAGAUUUUAUUGCCAAAGAAUGAACAGCCUUCCCUAGUGAAAGAGUACCAGAAUUUGCACAACCGACAAGAACACUAAUAAUAGUAGCCAAAUCCACAUCAAUACCCAAAUACAUCAUCUGUUUAUAGAUCCCCAGCCCUCUCUCUGUAAGACCAUUUGAUACAUAGCCACUUAUCAUAGAGUUCCAUGAUAUAACAUCUCGGUCACACAAUUUAUCAAACAGUUCAAAGGCACUUUCAGGUCUUUUGCCCUUGAAGUAAAAUGCGAUGAGGGAGUUCACCACACUGUUACAGCUACCAAAACCCAAUUUUAACAAAUACCCAUGAACACAUUCGCCUUCUUUUAAACUACCCAGAGCAGCAAAACACUUCAAAACACAAGAAAAGGUGUAAGAGUUCACUUCAAUUCCCUUUUCCACCAUUAUCUUGAAUAAACAAAUGCUCUCCUUAAAAUCGCCAAUUUUUGCAUACUCACUGACCAUGAAAUUCCACAAAUAAACGUUCUUUUUCUCCAUCGUAUCAAAAACUCUCCUCCCUUCUUUUAAAUCUCCACAAGUUGCAUAAAAUGAUACAAGCUUCAAGCUCAAGGCUUCAUCGACUCCAACACUAUUAGACUUAAUGAUUGAAUGAACUUUUUUUCCAUCCGUAAAUGAUUUUAAACCAGCACAAAGCUGUAAAACCGAGCUGUACGUUUUAGUUUCAAGUUCAGAUUUUUGACACAUGCAAAUCAAUUCCAUGGCAUUCUCAAGAUCACCCAAUUGGCAGAAAUGAAGGAUUUUUGCAUUAUAAUCUGUAACUUGAUGAUCAAUGGUUCUUGUGGGUGUAGCUGAGAUUCGGAUAGGGAUGCAAGAGCUGAAAAUUGGAGAGAAAAUUUUAGUCUUUAAAGAAGGUUUAUGGAUAAAGCAACCAUUUUGAGAUGAGAAAAAGUUUUCUUUACGGUUUUGGUUUAGAGUUAGAGGAGAGAAACAUAAGUUAGGUGCCGCUUUAGCCAUGGAAAGCCAGGGAAUCUCUCUUUCCAAAAUGCGAAAGCUUUAUGAGAGCUAACGGUCUAUAAGGGUCUGCCUUUUUCAACCAUUAUAUGAAUUUCCGAUAUAAUAUUAUUAAAAGAAAUAAUCAGAAAAUAUCUUAGUUUAAAAAGAUCUGAGUUUAACAGCGCACUGCAAAUUCAGUUCAAAUUGAUUGAUAAUAUUCAAUUAAAUCAGUUAUGAUGAUUAAUUUGAUUGUGUAAUGGUUAAAAUGAUUAAAUCCAUCACAAACCUUAGUUUCAUUUCCUGAUAAAUAAAUAGUUUCAACCAGUUUGUAAAUUGGUUUGUACCAAUUUACGAGUCAAGAAAUCGGCCAAUAACCGGUCAGUCCGAUUCUGGUUUAAGAUUGAUUGAUUGAUUAAAUUUGUAUUUCGAUUUUUUAACGAAUUGAAACUUGCAGGGUUGAAAGAACAAGCAAAUGCCAGAAGAAACAAGGGUUACUAAAAAUUGAAGAAUAAAUAUAAAACCAACAGGAAAGUCUCAAGCAUAAAUCUAUUCAGGAAAAAGAGAGAAACUGAUACACAAACUAGUCAAAAUCAAGUAGCCAAAACUGAAAACAACUCAAACUGAGCUCGUUACUGCUAUUUCUUAAGCUCCAAUAUUUUGGGACUUGUUAAGGAUGACACCUUCAUAUUUGACCUGGAACCACUUCAUGGCAUCUUCCUUAGUAACUCUGUGCUGAAUACCAACACGUGACUUGCAUCGGCGACGACGGCCAACGCGAUAACCAGCUCGUUCCAGAACAACGUAGAAGUCCAUGCCGUAGAUACCAGUUGAAGGAUCGUACCUAGAGAAGACAACAAGUGUUGGUAAUUUAUGCCAUCAAGGAGUUCCUUCCAUAUCAACUGUCACUACUAAUAAAAUUGAGCCUUCCCCAUAACCAGUGUUAACCACUAGAUGAUAGCAUCAGGAAAUGUUAACUUUUAAAGGGGUACCUAGUUUCAAGCCACACACUAACUUUAACCGGAAAGGCAAACCUUUGAACGACUAAGCCUGGUUAAAAGUUGCAUUGCUAUCUCCUGGUAAUUCUAUGUUGCUCGGCCUCUUCAUUUUAUUUGAAGUACAUGCGUCCGAUACAUGGAUGCGAGGACAAAACCAACAAUCAGCUAAAUACAUUGAAAACCUAGAAUGGUAUAAUUGGCAAAGCAGCACCAUUCUUAAAUCCUAAUAGCAAUCCCGACCCUAAAGUUAAAUGAAAGCAUUGCAGGAUACAAACAAGUGCAUUGCCAUUUCAAUGAAAAUCGAAGACUUGAACCUAUCAAAUAUUGCUAAUUCUCAUCAAAUUUAAAUUGAAAAACAAGUAUCCGGAAUGCAUUAUCAACAUAUAUCAAUUAAAACAAAAGAGACAUACAGAAAAAGACUUACUUGAUGCCAAGAUCAAUGUGUUCCUGGAUACCGAAUCCGAAGCAGCCGGUAUCACUGAAGUUCCUCCUCAAAAGUUCGUACUCCUUAACCUUCAACCCACUCUCAAGAAGCUGCAUAGCUUUCUCUCCCCUCACAGUCACGUAGCAAGCAAUCUUCUCAUUACGCCGAAUUCCGAAAGAUCUCACAGUGUACCUAGCUGCUCACAUCAACCCCACAUUUUUAUUUCCAUAAACAACACAAUCCAACAAAAGGACAGAAUUGGUAUCAUAAUUUUUUUUUACCUUUGGAGAAGACGGGGGUUUGACCACUGAGUUGUUCCAAGACCUAAAACGAGUAUACAGGGAUAAGCUAAUAUUUAAGUGCAAGAUUUGGGGGAGAACAUGAAUGGGUUUUUGUCUGUGUGAAUAACGGCGGUUACCUUGGCGGCACGGGUGAGACGAUCGCCACUUUCACCGACGGAGAUGUUGAGGACAAGUUUUUGAACUUUAAUCUCCCUCAUUGGGUUCGACAGCUUCUUCUCCGAUGCCUUUCGUAGUUAUACAAAGUAAAAACAACCAUUAAAAAAAUGUUAAUGAUACAUGUAUUAACAAAACGGAAAAGGUCGAGAUAAAGAGAAAGCUACCAUGAUAUGGGAAAUGGAGGCUGAGAGCAGCGUUGUACUGACAAGUGACAAAGAGGCAGCUGGGUCUAAUUCCUCACUCUAGGGUUUUCAGGCUGCAUGUAUGAGUGUUAAAAGUCGCUUCCUUGUUCAUGUAUGAGUGCCAAAGUCUCCUUGAGUUUUGGGCUUUUGGUCUAUGGGUUUUUGGGCUAAAAGAACAAGAGAGAAGAAGAUGAAUGAAAAAAACAAAUUGGAUCUUUCUCAUGAUAAAGGUCCAUUUCCUUCGAAAAUCUAGGGUAACCCAAAACUGCUUUUUUUUCUCUUACUACAUCACGGUCAUUAAAUUAUUAAUAAAUUUAUGUCUUGAUUAUUUAACUUUAAAAAAAUUAUAAAAAAAUUAUUGAAUUAUUCAAAAAUUUUCAUUUAGUCUAGCUAGUGAGUUUCAAUAAACAUCGACGAGUAAAAAAGCAUACAUUAUAUUCAAGUUGAUCUAAUGAUUAAUAAGGAAUAUCAAAAAAUAAAGUUGUUUGAAUUUUAAUUCAUAAAUUAAUAAUAUUCAAAAUAUUUCAUGAAAAAAGAACAAAACUGUAGAAAAGAAAGAAGGCCAUGAUAGUGAUUUUAACAACCUUACAUGAAAAUUUUCGAAUAAUUUUAUGACCGUUUUAUAACUUUUUAAAAUCGAGUGAUUAAAAUAUAAAUUUAUUAAUUCUUUAAUCACUUCAAAUGCUUUUAAAAGAAUUCGGAGUUCUGUAGUUGCAUUCUAACUCCGUUUCAACUCCGACUAAAUUUAAUCCCAUUGUUAUUUUUACCAUCCACAAAAGUCAAACUCAGAAUCAUACUUGAAAUAUAUCAAAGUUCUUAUCACUCACUCGACAAAUUUGUUAUUGAAAAACCAUUCAUCAUAAACAUCAACUCUAUGUCGAUCAAAUUUGUGUUACAAUCAUGUAUAUAUAAUGGGAAUUCCCCUAAUGAAUUCGACAUAAAUGCAUGCCAAAUCUAGAUCUUUAAUAAAUAAGAAGAAAAAAAACUUCUCACUGUAAUACAGCCUAAGCCAUCCUUUGCCUAAGCUUUGACUUUAAGCUGAAAGGCACAAAUACCAAACAAGUUAAUAUUGCAAGCAGCAAAUACAAUUUUGUCACAGUAAAAGAAUUGGGGCAUGGAUGGCUACUUCUGAAAUUUGAAAACUCAAUCUUUAUGGUUUGUCUAUAUGGGUAUUGAAAACCGGAAACAACCCGUAAUGUAGCUUCACUGACAAGUUAUUUCAUAUCCAUUCAAAUUCAACAGGAGAAGCAGACCCGACAGGAAGGCAAGAAAAGGUGGUGCAGAGGACGAUCGUUAUGUCUGGUUCACACCUUUGCUAAAACAUAUUCACACGGAAGAACCACGGCAGUACAAAGGCCAUUACCAGGCAUGCCAUGAGGAAGUUACAGAAAGGCUGUCCACGCCAACAUCCUGAACGUUGAUCUGAGAAGCUACCACCGCCACUUGUAGAUCCUUGGCCAUGCCAAUCUUCGAUAAAUCUGUUAUCUCUAACGCCACUGAUAUUUUUUGCGGUUUGACCACAAAUUUCGCACAUUCUGCGGAAAAAAAAAUUAAACAUAAGAAGGUAUAUAUAGGAGAUUUGCCAACAUGUUCUGCUUCCAAGUACUUCCUGAGAUAUCGAAUGUUGGUUUGAGAUACAAGCUAUUCACGAUACAUAAAAACAGUUGCUAUUUGAUAAUAAUUCAAUGAACUCUUAGACCUAAAUGUAUGAUGACAAUUCAAUUCGCUCAAAGGGUUGAAAAAACAAGAAGAUAGGUAAACACAAAGGGUCUAUAGCUUCAUAUUCGAUAUUGAUCAAAGUUAACAUUUCUCACUUAUGUAUGUUCUUAGAGUCCAAUUAGAUAUUUCAUUGCAAAAAAACAAUGGCAAUGGAGAAAAAAGUCAUGUUUCAAUGACCAUUGAAAUAUUUCACAUCAUUAACUCUUCUGUUCCACUUAUCGUAUAUACUAUAUAGUUUUGUGCCUCCUUACAAAAGGUGGAUGGUAAUUUUGAUAUCCAUAAAUGAAAAUGUUUCAAUGAGACCUAAAAAACUUAUAGUUGGUCCUAAAGCUAAUCCCAAACACAACUAGAGCAAAGAACAAUUAAAAUUCCAGAGUUAAGAAGCCAAACCCUAUAUCAACAAUACCUAACACAUAAUGACAUGGUAGUAACAGCAAAGCAUUAACAACAAGGCAAUGCGUAUUUUCCCCGAAGAGACCUAGUUUAGAUCCUAAAACUUCACUACUAGAGAAAGAACAUUACCUGUUUCCUUUCAGCUUAAACCAUGCCUCUGCGCAAUGACUAUGUGCGAUUCCUAGCUCAUCUUUGCACUCACAACCGAGUUGAAUUAGAUCCACAGCAGCUGCAGUAGCCGAUGUACUAUCGGUAGAUUCAAGGGAUUGCUCAGAAUUCAAAUGACAAAUUCUACAAACUGUUUCCUCAUCCCAACUCUCCUUAAACUGUCUUCGGCCACCACCGCUUCCCUUUACAUCAAUCACACAUGCGUCCUCUGCUUCAGCAGCUUUUGUCUUUGGCCCUUCGACUGAUACUUUACUUGAACCGAGUCCAUAGUCUUUCACUUCAAACUCUCCACUAAUUCCUUCCAGAGAUGCUGCCUCUUGGGUGUUAAUCACAGUAAUGGUCUGAAUUACAGAUCCACUAACUGAAUUAGGGAAACUCUCACUACUUCCUUGAUCAACUUGACCUAGUUUUUCGGCAACUCCUCUAAUUUCAUUCAUCUCCUCGUAAAUCGAUUCAUUUCUUUCUUCAACCAACCCCUCACUUGAUGAUACCACUACAUUUGCAUCAAUUAAACUAUUUGAAUUCCCGUUAGUUCCCAGAUCAUUCUGACCAAUUCCUCUCCCAAAAUCCAUCUCCUGAUUCUUACACGAUUCAAAGCCAUCAUUUUGCAAUCUCAAAUCCGAAUUUUCUCCAUUAGAACACAAUUUUUCUUCAGAAUUUUCCACAAUGGCGGUUCCAGACACAACCCCAUUAACCGAAUUCUUUGAAUUUCCACCGACACAUUCCCCAACUUGACUCAAGUUCAUACUAGUCCCUAUGCAAUCACCCCUUUUCUCUUGAUCCAUUAAUCUUAGCUAACUAGACCUCUUCCUCCUCUAAAAUAAUAAAAAAACCAAGGCAAUAAGCAUACAUAUGAGCAAUCAGAUAAUGGAAAAGAGCUAAUGUUUUCUCCAUUUUAAAACCAAUCCCAGACCAUGUACACUGUGAUCAAACCAUUUUUCCUGCUCAUUACACCCCACCACAAGAAUCCAAAAAAGCUAUAAUCACAAAAGAAUCAACAUAAUCAUAGAAAGAGCUUAUGAACUCCCUCAAAAGUAAUAAAAAUCGAAUCUUUGUUUAACUUCCAAAACAACCCAGAAUCAGAUCCUUACCUACUUUUGUAUCACUUCAACUCCAAGCAAAUAAACAAACAAACAAAAAUCGUACCUCCACCCCAAAAAUAAGAAGGGUUUUGUGAACAUUGAAAUGUCAAAACCCAAUAAUUCAAAUGGAGAAAAGAUCAUAAUAAAAUGCGUUCAAUUGUUAUAAGAGAAUCAAACACUUUCACCAUUAAAAUACAAAUAAAUUGAGAGAAUCUAUACAAAUAUAUCUAGGCUUAAAGAGGGUGAAAGAGGUUAGGUGAUGAAAGGAACUUGAAAACAAAUGGUAUAAGAAUGAAAAUGGGUUGAGUGAAGAUUACCUAAAUAUUGACUAGAAUCAGCAGAAAAAUAGGGAUUAUAAUAAUAGAAUUAUUACAUUAAUUAAAUGGAGGAAAAAAAGGAAUCUUUUUUUGGAAGGAUUUCAUUUUCGGAUUCACGGCGUUUCAUAAGUAAUGCUUAUCUUGAUGGGUUAGGCAAAUUUUAUAAUUUUUUUUGGUUCAAAAGGGUUUAGGCAAAAUUUUGGGUUCUUGAAAAAGUUUUCUUUAUUAGAAAAACACUAUGAUUUUCUCCUCUCAAUGUGAUCAUUGACUUCAUUUAUGAAUUUCAACUUUUUAAGGAAUUGUGUUGAAUGGACGAAGGUUUUUUUUUCUUUAUUUUGUGUUAGAAAUAGAAAAUGGAUAUGAUUAUAAAAUAAGAUAAAUGACGUGGAAGAUUCAAGAAAGCGCAUUGGCAAAAUUGGUAACUUCAUAUACUCAAUCUUUUAAUAUUAUAUUUCCAAAAAUUCCACUUCCAAAAAUAAUAAUAAAGUUAAUUUGGAAAAAGUGAUAGUUAGGGUGGGUUUGAGUGGACUGUCCAUUUAUUUACGAUUAGUGUAAAAAUAACGGUGACUGUGAGAUUAGAUACUAUAGUAAUAUUAUAGUAUAAGAUAAAAAAUAAAUUAAACGCAUUGUACCCAGCAGCUCAUCCAAACCCCACAUUAGAAUGAUUGUUUAAGAUAAUUUUUGUUUGAUAAUAGUUACAUUCGAAACAAAUAUGUUUAGAAUAAGGUUUUAGUUUAAAACAAUUAUUAUUUGAGAAUUAUUAAUGUUUGGAAUAACCUUGUUUAGAUUAAUUGUGUUUUAAGAACAACUAUGUUCAAAGCAAUUUUUGUUCAGAGCUUCUAUCUAAAAAAAUGGUGCUUUUUAAGAACAAUGACAAUUCUUGUUUGUAACAACAUUUACUAAGAACUAUUAUGUUGAUAACAGACUAAUGUUUGUAAUAAGUCAAAAUAACCUUUAUUCAAGAAUAAUUCUUCACCAAAUUAGAAAAAAAAAAUAAACUUGGAGUAUGUCAAUUGAGUUUUUGGGAUGUCUUUCACUUUUAAAAUGUUUCAAAGAACUUGCCUUAGUGAAUUAUGGAGAUAAUUAAAAGGUUCCAUCUUAACAUUUUCAUUAACAUUAAGGGUGUGUUUGGUUUGGUGGGAAAAUAGAGGGAUGGAAAAAGACGGUGAAAAAGUGGAAGAAAAUUGAUAUACCCCCACUCACAUGUGACAUGUGGCAGGACGAUAAGUCACCUGAGAAACGUCUCCUAUAUGCCAUAAACCAAGUGGUUAUUAGAAGUACCACCCUUUGGUCAAGCCACUUACUCCUCGAAAGGAUACUAUCACCAAAGUUCCCCAAGCACUUGGUCUUUUGUGAAGAACAUGAUCCUUUUAGUCAUCAAACCUCAUAUGAGAUUAACCACUCCGUACCAUGAAUCAAAAGAAAUGGUAAUUUAUAUCCUAUCACAGACAUUCCACCCACGUGUCCUAGAAUGAUAGUCUAAUGACGAAUUCACCAUGUUAAUGCCACCAAACAAGGGACCCUCGCCUAUAAAUAGUCCUCAAGACAAUGAAGAAAUGAUCGACUCUUCAACAUUCUAGCCUACACUCUGCCACUUUACUCUCAACCUUCAUCUCCACCAUUUUCAUUCUCUUUACUCUUCAACUCUCCGCCCAUAUAGGGUGAAUUGAUCUCUGUCUACACCAACACUUCCUAUUGAAAAUAAAUUUUAAUGUGCUUCGUUGAGAAAAAAAAAAGUAAAAGGAAAGAAAAUAGAAGAGGUGAUUAUUUUCAUUCUAAUUAAUGCAUAACAACCAAUCAUUUCAAAUUGAAAUAAUAAAAGAAGAGAAAAUAAAAGUGUAUGUUAGUUCAAAUUAUGCAUUUUUGUUCUAUUUUUUUUUCUUUUCACUUUUCAACUUUAUCAAACAAUGAAAGCAAAGAAAAAAUAUUUUCUUUCUAUUUUUCCAUCUUUCUUAAAUUCUAUCAAGCACACCUAGAAAAAGAAAAAAAAAUUUCUUUCUAUUUUUCCACUCUUCAAUUUUUCACUUUUCCAAAUUUUUUCCACCCUACUAAGGAAAAUUUGGCAUUUGAACUCUUCACAAAAUUCUUUUAGCUGCAUUUACUUUUUCUUCAUCUUACCAACCACCACUUGUUUUUGCUUUACUCCAAUCUUUUUCUUAUCUUUCUCUUGAUAUAUUUGAUUCACUUGUUUGUAAAUAUUUCAUCUCUCCAUAAAAUAAACCUCUGCAGUAAUUUAAAAAAUACAUAGAAAGAGGUGAAUCAUCAGCAGCAAAAGUCUUCAGCAUAUCAAAACCAACAUAGAGUGGUGUCAACCUCCAAAUGGAACAUUGGGUUCCCCAACAGAUCAUGCAUAACCCAUCAAAGUGUUGUCAUAACCAGACCAAGCCAGUUGGUUAAAUCAGAAACUUGUAGUUUGACUAGUUUGAGUGAUGGUAUAUGAUUGGAAAUAGAGCGAACUGUAAUGAGUCGAUAAAAAAUCAAAGACGAGAGAAAGAACCGAUUAUUCAACAGAUUAAACUAGUAAUGAAAUUUUUAAUAAUUUUAUGAUUGUUUUAUUUAAUCAUUUUGACCCAAUAAACCACUAGACUAGUUCUUACGACAUUGACUAUCGAACUAUGACACCCUGAAACAUAAGAAAAAAAACUCUCAUCUAGUGAAGCAGCAAAAUGCUUCAGCCAAAUCCCCCAGUGGAGAGACAACAGCUAACAUCAUGUCUAAAGAAAUUAUUAAUCUGAGAACAAAUUCUUCAAGCAAGAGGUCGAGAAAAAAGCUACAGAGAUAGAUAUCAAUGGAAAACAAGGAGAGAAGAAGGGACAAGGGAGGAGAUGGAAUGAGAGGAAAAAGGAGUUUGGUGAGAGGGAAGAAAGUAGAAAUAGUAUAGGUGGAAGAGAGAAAUGGGUGGAAAACUGUUACGGAGGAUGCAACGAUCGACUAUCACUCAUCCACCAAGGAGAUCAGUUAAGGGGGCUAAGGAAUAGAAAAAAAAAAUAUAUAUAUAUAUAUAUAUAUUUUUAAUACAAUAUUGAAAGUAGAUGUGUUUGAACUCGUGUCAAACAUAUUUAUCAAAACAAUAUGUAGAUACUAUGAAUGGAUGAAAAAUAGGGGUAAAUUAUAAUCACUAUACUAUUAGUGAAUUUAUGUUUUGGUUACUUAAUUUUAAAAAAUUAUAAAAUAGUCAUUGAAUUAUUUAAGAGUUUUUAUUUAAAUCAUUGAACUGUUAAAAUUAUUAUUAUAUGGCUUUCAUUGUUCGUAUUACCUGCACAAAUCGAAAAUUCUCCUCCCAUUUUUCUUUUACAGUUCAAUUCUUUUUUUAUGAAACAACUUUGAACGUCACGAAUUUGUGAACCAAAUUCAAACAUUUUUUUCUCCAAUUUCCAAUAUUGACCGUCAGAUCGACUUGAAUCGAAGGCAUGUUCUUCUAUUUGUUAAUGGAUACUAAUCCACUAUACCGGUCGUUGAAUUGUUGUUUAGAGCUCACUAGUCAGACUUUUUAAAAAAUCUUAACAGCCAAAUGACUUAAAUAAAUAAAAAAAAACUUUUAAAUAGUUCGAUUACUUAGAUGAAAGCUUUCGAAUAAUUCAAUGAUAAUUUUAUAAAUUUUUAAAAUUAAGUGAAUAAAACAUAAAUUUACUAAUAAUUUAAUAACAUUGAAGGUAGGUUACGCAAAAUUCUGUUUUACCAAUCUGUUCAUAAUACUCGGACAUAAAUAGUGCUUGACACGACUUAUUCAUCUUUUUUUGCCAAUCCACGGUCAAUUAUAAUUGAGUUUUAGCUCAAUUGACAUGAGUAUUGUUGCCAAUACAAAAGGACGUAGGUUUGAAUAUGCUGAAGUGCAUUAUCCUCUUAUUUAUGAGUUAGGAGGAGUUAUAGAUAAUUUUAGACAUUGUGUAAAAAAUGAUACAUAAUCUAAUAUAAUGGAAACAUUUAACAAUGUUAUUAAUUGAACUGCAAUUAUUAAAUUAAAAGUGUAAAUAGAUUAAAUUUUUGAAAAUAAAAAUAGAGAUUAAAUUUUAAAUAUGUGAAGAGUAUAGGGACUGAAAGUGAAAUUAAACCAUGCAAUUAAAAGCAUAAAUCAUAUUGCAAAUUGCAAACCGUAUGCGAUAUUACGGAAAACCCAACAACUAUAAAUAAAUUUUUGAAAACACAUUUUUAUCAUUUAUUAAUCUAUAAUUUCUUUCAUUUUUAAGGGAUUAAAAAUAUUUUUUUUUCAUUUUUAAGGGAUUAAAAAUAUUUUUUUUUCAUUUUUAAAAAUUAAAAUAUGAUUUUACUAUAUAUUAAUUUAUAAUUGCGUUAAAUUAUAAAUUUGUCAUCAUAUGAUAGGUGAAUAUUAAAAUUUGUCACUGUACUUUGUUUUUAUUGAUAUUUGUCAUUAUAUUUUAAAAAAUAUGAGUAAAUUUACCAUUCAACUCUUAUGUGAUUGACUUUUAUUAAGUUUUGCUACCAAUUUUAGUUUUUAAUUGAAUUUUACCGAUCAAUAUUAAUUUUGAUUAUUUGAAAACCUAUUUUAAUGAAAAAAAUCUUUCAAAUAUUUAUUUUAAUAGUUAACAAUAAUUUAAAAAUAAUUUAAUUUAUAAAUAUUAAAAAUUAAUAAAAUUAAAUUAAAAAUUUUAUUUAAUGAAAUAAAAUAUUUAAAAAUAAAAAUACAUAUACCAUAAAAGAAAAAAAAAUUAAGUUUAUUUUUAUAAAAUAAUCGUAUUGAUUUAAUUUUAAUAGUAUAUUAAUUAAUUAAUUAUUUUUAAAUAUUAAAGUCAAAUAUAAAAAUGACUUUUUAUUAAAUUUUGUCUUCAAAUUAUUUUAAAUUAAAAUUGAAUAGUAAAAUUUGAUUAAAAAAUUUAUUUUUAGUGACAAAAUUCAAUCAAAUAAAUGUAAAGUAACAAAAUAGUGGUAAAUUUAUUUUUACUUUAUAAAGACAAUUGACAAACAUCAAUGAAAGCAAAAUAUAGUCUCAAUUUUCACUUAUGACAAAUUCGCAUACUAAUCCUUUAUAAUUUUAUUAUUUUGGAAAGAACUAAACAUGCAUUUUUUUUUUCAUUUUGGGAUCGAAGCACAUGCCUACCCUUAAAUUUGUUUUUGUUACUAUAUCAACAUUUGUGUCAAGAAGUUUAAUUCCAGUUUUGAGAGAAAAGUUCGAUCUGACUUCAUUUUGAGUUAAAUUGAACCUAAUAUAACUAUGAAAUAUCAAACAUCGUAGACUAAAAAAGUUAUUUAUAAGAUAAAUAAAAAGAAAAAUUACAUCUAAAAUCACUAAACUAUUAUUAACUUUAUGUUUUGAUCACUACAAAACGGUUACUAAAUUAUUCGAAAGGUUUCAUUAAAAUCGCUAAGCUAUUAAAACCGCUAUUAUAUAGCCUUCUCUGUUCACAUCAAUCAAAAGCUUUCAUUCCCCUUCUUUUUUACAAUUUUAUUUUUUUCAUGAAAUAAUUUUGAACAUCACAAAUUUGCAGACAAAAAUCAAAAUUACUUUCUUCUCCGAUUUCCAACAUUAACGUCAGAUUGACUUGGACCUAAAGUAUAUUCUUUUACUCGUCGAUGGAUACAAAUCCACUGUACCAAUCUCGAAUCGUUGUUUGGAGCUCAUUAGCUGAACUAUAAAAAGAACUUAACAAUCUAGUAACUUAAAUGAAAACUUUCGAAUAGUUCAGUAAAAAAUUCUGAAUAAUUCAAUGACCAUUUUGUUACUUUUUGAAGUUAAGUGACUAAAACAUAAAUUACUAAUAGUUUAAUGACUUUAGGUGUAAUUUACCCAAAAAUAUUUAUAAGACAAAUAAAAAGGAUGGGUCUACAUUGAAACUAAAUUCAAUGAAGCAAUAAUAUAUGUUUGACUUGAUCGGCAAUCCUUCUCUGAAGACAAACUUGGCGAACCACAAUCAAACAUGUCGAUAUGGAAAUUUGUCGUUUACCAUGUUCUUCUUCCCUUAAAUUUGUCCAAAUUCUAAUCAUUUCAUUUUCGUUACCAAAGUUUGAAUUUUAAUUCUGAAAGUCCAGCAAUCACCAGCCGGCUAUUUCGGCAGAUUCCAAAGACCAUCAUUUAACUUUUUCUUUUCUUCUUUUGAGUGUCAUACACUCCUAUUUGUAAAUUUUAAAAUUCUAAAAAUCCAUUUAAUAAUUGAACUAGUUUAUUUUGAUUUAUCAGUGUAAUCAAUUCGAUUAAAUAAAUUAUUUAAAAAAUUUAAAAAAUUUAGAUUAAAUAUUGUAUACUGAUUCUCGAAUCAAUUAAUUUAAUGACUUUCUUCUUACCGGUUUCACGAUUGAUUCAUGAUCCAGUUCAAACUAAAUUGCAAACGGUCUUCUUCAUAUUAGAAUUAGAAUUGUUCUUUGUUUUUGUUAUACCUACACCUCGAAAGUCCAUCAUUAACAUCUGGUGAGCUCGUGUGACACUACGACCUCGUGGAGGUCCAUGCGGGCUAAGACCGAUAAAGAAGGGAAAAUCCUGCUGACCAGUAUCUAGAGGCACCUCGCAGGCGCACAGAAAGACGAGCACACGUCAAGGAAUCACACCCCUAACAAAGACAACCCACACCUACGUAGGAAGAAAAUCAAUAGGUCGACUAAACCCAAAUAAUCCAAAACUAAAAGUGUAAAGCCUCGGCAAGGGACCAACAACACCCUAAGGCUCCCAAGAUCAAGGAAUCAGCAGAACAUCCAUGAUACCUUUCACUCCUAACUCCAAACCUUCUCUCAGCUCCCAGCUCCCAUAAACUCUCUUACUGCUCUCUGCCCACUGGGUGAACUGUCCUUAGCCACCCUUCUCUCCACCGUGUAUCAACAGCAUCUGAAUAUUGGAUUUGCUUUAUUUAUUUUUCACAAGUUUUGGUUGUUAAUAAUCACCUCAAAAUUGGGGAAAAUAUUUUCAUAGACUACAAAAGCUAAAGCAUUCCUUGUAAUUACAUUUGAAAAGCUAUAAAAACAUAAAAAUGGUUAACACGGUUACUCUCAACAUCCUGAGUCAAUUUUGGGACAUUUUCACUAACUUAUAGGAGAGUUCCUUAAUCUAACUCUCACUGGUUCAUGACUUCCAUUCGAUUCCCAGGUGCAAAAAUCAUAUACAAAUUGAUGGGGAAGGGCAAAUUUUAUGCUUUCUAUUUACCGAGGUCCGGAAAGUUCCAUUGCUUCAAUGAUGAAGGAUGACUCUUCAUGAACGUCACUGUAAUUCCUAGAGAAGCUAUAUGCGCUGGUCUCGCAAUGGUUUGUUCCACCUUGUGGUUCAUCUGUUCCUGACUGCACAAGACCUUCAAGGACCUUCAAAACUUCAGACAUCUUGGGGCGAAGGUGUGGUUGUGGUCGAGUACACUGCAGCGCCAACUCUGUUACUGUUUCCAACUCGAUUGUGUCGAAGCAUCCCUGUAAAUCCCUGUCCACUAGCACUUCAAGUCUCCUCUCCUCGUGCAAUGUCCUAACCUGUAUCACCCAUGAAGUAUCUUCAGAUUAAAUAUAUAUUAAUAGCACAGAACAAAAAGUACGACAAAUUUUUAGUUUAUGCUGGAUGUUGUCAUAACAAAGCAAACAUCCAUUAUGUUGAGUUAUCUGGAUUUUGUAGGCAUGCAUAACUUUCUCUAGGUAAACCGUGUGCACUCGGAAUGACAAAGAUCCAAGUUAGUAGACAGUCAUCGAUCAUUUCUUACCCAGUCAAGAAUCAUUCCCUUUUGAACCUGUCCAUUACCAGCAUCUAAUGUCUUUUGUCCAGUGAUGAGUUCCAACAGUAGUAUCCCAAAUCCAAAGACAUCUGUUUUCUCAGAAGACUGUCCAGUUGAAAGAUACUCCGGGGCUAUGUGUCCUACAGUCCCUCGCACAGCAGUAGUAACAUGGGAAUCCCGUUUAUCUAAGAGCUUAGCAAGACCAAAAUCCCCUACCACAGCUUCAAAGCUUUCGUCAAGCAAAAUGUUUGCAGCUUUUACAUCCCGGUGAAUUAUUCUGGGAUUACAUUGCUCGUGUAAAUAUAGAAGUCCACGAGCAGCUCCAAGGGCAAUAUGCAUUCGUCUACUCCAAUUCAAAGCAGGCUUUCCAUGACAAGCAUCUGGUAAACAUAAUCACAUUAUAAGGAAAUGGUGAGGCCACGAGGGGCAAAAUAUAAAAAGCUGCGAGGGAAUCAUAAAAUAGACGAAUAGUUAUGACUGUGCAUUUAAGCCACAAAAAGAAAACAAACCUCUUAAACGAUCGGCAACACUACCAUUUGGCAUAUAAGGAUACACAAGCAAUCUCUCAUCAGGUGUCAUACAGAAGCCAUACAAACGUAAGAGGUUACGGUGAAGAGCUAAACCAAUCAUCUCUACUUCAGUUUGAAAUUGCACUUCUCCUGUGAAAUUAGGAUCUUUAAGCCUUUUAACCGCAACCACUGACCUAUUUGGAAGACACCCUUUAUAGACAACUCCAUAUCCUCCUUGUCCUAGAAUGUUUUUGGGGUUAAAAUUGCCGGUGGCAAUUUGCAGUUCACGAUAGGAGAACCUCUUUAGAUGACCGAUUUCAAAAUCAUAAUCUUGCUGCACUGCAAUUCAAAGUAACACAAAAUUCUCAAAUUCCAACAAUUACACAAAUUCAGUGUUUGAAAAAUGUAUCUUGUGAAUAUGGGAGUACCGUAUGAGGGAAGCAUAACCCGAGAUCUGUACCAAUGCACCCAACAAGCAAGCAGCAUCACGGAAACCACAAAUGCGAAACCAAUUCCUAUGGCAACAGAAAGCAGCCAAUGAUGGUUUCCACUGACUCGAGAAGACGAAACUGAGCCUGCCACUAAACAAUUGGGCAUGUUAGAUUGUCAUGAUUAAAGAGCAUACAGCAAAAGCACUUUGAUAGAUUUCAACAACAUACCAUUUAAUGGAUACGAAACAUCUGUGCAUAUAUGUUCAGAAGAAGCACAAAGAAAGUUGUUUCCCGUAAUACUACACAACAAAAAAGGAACAUUGAGCAUGAAGUGAAUGAAAGCUAUUUAUCAGCAAGAUUGUUCUGAACAGGAAAACGAAUAUUUAAAGCUUAGGCUUAUUGAUGUGAAAUGAAAUCUCUUUUCUGCAAGGAAGCUCACCUAUAACCUUUUGCUAGUAUUUUCGGAGUAGGACCACUGAGAUUAUUAUAUGAUAAGUCCCUGCACAAUAUCAUUUAAGUUAAUUGAAAUCAUCAUCGUGUAGCAGUCUGGAUUAGAAUUAAGGUAACAUGACAGGAAUGUACAAGAAUGAAAGACCGGUGAGAUUUGCAACGUGUCUAGGAAUAGGUCCAGAUAAAUUGUUCUUGCUAAGCCUCCUGAAAAAUCCAGAGCAAAGAUUUUAGGAGGCAAACAUUAAGAAAACUUGCGCGUGGACAUAACAACAAAUGUUAUAGAAAUGCAUUGAAGAAAUGUCAGGGCCGCACUCACAGAUAACUUAGAUGAGUUAGAGAGCCCAAAGUACUUGGAAUUGCUCCGACAAAGUGGUUACCAGAAAGAUCCAGAGUUUGAAGCUCCGAGAGUUUCCCUAUCUCAUCCGGGAUGGGACCUGAUAACUGAUUGUUUUGCAACAACCUACAAAAACAAUGACAAAGAAGGUUUAUUCGAUAAAAUAACCUCAGAAUUUAAGAAAAUAAGACUAAAACUAAGUUCUGAGAACCAACACUAGCAUUUCUUCCAACAAGAACAUGUACCCAAGUGCACUGUAAUGCACAUUCUUUCACAAGCAAAUCAACUUCUAAAAGAAUACCCCAUAAAAGUAAUGUCUUGGGCAAUCCUAAUCACUACUAAAACAUAAAUUUCACAUUGGUUCCAAUACUGUAAGAAUUAGCAGUUGGAUUACAAGAAAAGACAUAAGACGGUGGACUCACAUUGUCCUUAGGUGACUCAAAUUCCCAAUGCUGGGUGAAAGCAUACCUGAUAACCCUGUGCUGGCCAUUUCUCUAUCAACAACAAUUUUACAAAAUCAAGCUCUCAUUUUUACUUUUUUUUAAAUCAAAUUAUUCACAAUCGCUAAAGAAAUAGAAAAGGAGCAUAGUUCCUCACAGUGAGAUAACGAAACCUUCAGCAGAACAAGCCACCAUGUUCCAUGUACAAGGAUCAACCGAGUUGAUAUCCCAGCCAUCCAUAACCUGCUUAUCAUCUCUCAGCUCUCUCUUCACCGACAUCAAAGCAGCCACUGUUAUUACAAUACCACCCAAAAUCAAAAGAAGAAAAAAAUUACUAAAAAAAAAAGAAAUUAAGAACCCAAAAUGGACCUUCAUAGUUAACUCCUUUGGGAGAAAGGAGACUAUCACCAUCUGAAACUGAAUGGACCGAACAAAACCAAUGUAAAAAGAACCAAAACACCCACAUAAUGUGCUGCUCCAUUGAAUGCUAAACAAAAGCAAUGACAAAAAGGAGAAGCUAAAGUGACAAAGGAAAGCUGGAAAGCUUUUGAUUCUUUUUUUCACUUAGGCUUUUGACUUUAGGGAAUGAAAGUAAGGCCAAAAUCUACUGACAGAAAACAAAAAAUGCAAUCUGAAUUCAGCUAAAGUUUGGAUUUUUUUUUAUUGAAUUUUAUAUUUGGUUGCAGCUCUGCUUGGACUCUUGGCUGAAAAGAUUAAUAUUUUCGAGUAUAAAAAUAGUGAGGAAAGGCUAUGUUUUUUUUUUUUUGGGUGUUUUUGCAAGUGGCGAGGCCAGGAGAAUGGUCCUUUGAACAUGGGGCAAGUCCUCGAGAUGUGUGAAAUGACAGAGAUGGUCGCUUUUCAUGAUUUAAAGGUAGUAUUUUUUUGGUAUUGUAACGAUUUACGAUGUUUGGAUUUUGUCUGAAUUUGAGUUAAUUUUGGGCCGUUGAGAUCGUAUGUUUUGAUGAUUGAUCGGAAACGAACGGUUCAUAAGUGAUUGGUCGUAUGUUACAAUUUUCACAGCGGAGUUUAAGUUAUUUUCAUUUAAGUUGAUUCCUACACUUAAUAAUUGUUUUUAUAUUUGAGUUUAGUUUUUUUCUUUAAAGCGAGUCAUUGAUCUUAAUAAUUAUUUUCGUAUUAGUGUUUGAAUAUUUUUUAUUUAAAUUAAUUUUUAAUAUUUUAUUAAAAAUUUUAAAAUUUGUGUCUCGAUUGGAAUAAUUAUUAAAUUUAUGUUCAAAUAUGAUAAUAAUUGUUAAGUUUAAAUAUUAACUUAAGAAAAAAAAAUCAAAUUCUAAUAUAAAAAUAUGUACAAAGUUUAAGAGUUAAUUUAACCAAAACAAAAGUCAAACCCUCUAUAUGAAAAUUAUUACCUAAUUUAAACUCGAAAUAUUGAUUUAAUUUUUUUAAAUUUUUUCACAAUAGAAAUACAACAGUUUUCUCCUCUAAACGGUGCGGUUUCAGAAAAACAAUGAAAACAAAGGCAAGAUAUUUCGUCUGAUCUGUUAUGAAAUGAAUGGAUCAAAAUUUAAUGAGGUUAAAUCAUUAAACGAAAUUUUAAAAAUUUGAAUGUUUAAUAGGUUAUAUUCAGGGGGAGAUUUGAAAAAUUGAUGUGAAAGAGAGAAAAUGGAGAACAAAGAAUGUUGAAAGAACAGAAAGGGGAACAUUGAAACAGGGAACCAGCUCAGCUAAUUGUCUUUUUGACGACCAAAAAAAAAAACCCUAAUUAUUAAGCAUGGGUAGGACCUUAGGGCUAAGGAUAAGACUUAAAGGGCAUCUACUUUUUGACAAAAAAAAAAAAAAACCAAACCCACUACAAUUGUGCAUGCACCUUAAAUAGGUAAAUGUUUGAAUUAUAUUUAAGUAAAUUGAUUUUUCCAAGAUCAAAUUUUAUUGUUAAAAAUUAAUUUACAUACGUUUUAACGAGAUACAUAUAGCAAGUUAUAUAUAAUUGUCUAAUUGUUCUCUUUACAAUAAAAAUUUUAACGAAAAUAAUUAUCAAUUUAGCAAAAUUUUUAAAUAAAACAAAUAAAAUAUCCAGUAACUUCUAUAAUGGUUUUACCAUCCAAAAUAUCAUUGCAAUCUGGACAUUAACUUUCCAUCCCGGACAAAGCACCAAAUUGCACAGGCACUAGACAUUAACUUUCAUUUUGACAUAUGUUUGUUCCUACCUUUUGCCCAUAUAUAUAUAUUACCCUUGGCAGAGUUACAGCAAUGGCCAAUGUUCAUCCAUCAGAGGAUGAACUUUAGCUUUGCAAUGUGGCUUUGCUGAGGCUGUUGAAAUAGAAUUGAGUCCGGGAGCUUGACUUCUUGGAGCCAAUAAACAAAAAACCAGUAGUGGCAUUACUUGGUACAAACAGUAACAAUCAUGAUCUGCUAGAUAAAAUAUAUAUUCUCUAUUUUUAUCAAAUAUUUGUGUUGAAUUUGUAUUAAACUCAUGUUUCCAUGUAACCCUGGCCCUGUUAUUGGUCAGACUGAAGACAGGACCUAAGAACUGCUUGUUAUUUUGUGAAAGUUAGGAUAUUUGUUCUUAACAGUAAUGAUUAAUCUUUUUAUCGUAAAAAUUUUACGAAAAUAAUACAUACUUAAGCGUAUUUAGAUAUACAUCCACUAAAUGAAUUGACACUUUUUACCUAUAUAUCUUUUAUAUCUGCAUUAAAUCCUCAAGGCCCAGACUGGGGUCAAUGCUUGUAAAAUUUCAGCAUCAUGAUGGACAUUGGUCCCUAGCCAAAUGACAAUCGUAUGUUUUGGCUGAAUGCAAAUACAAUGGAUAACCUUCUCACUAGGUAUUUGCUUUUGACUUUUCAGUCCUUGUUUCUAUACUUGUCGUGGUCUACUUGUGAGUGAGUUGCAAAGCAGGGCAUUGGAGUUGAUACUUCACGACAUCCUCCAAUGUCUAAAUUAGUAAAUGCCUUAAAGGGAUGGAAAAUGAAAAGUAAUUUAAGGUCAGACCUUGGUAAAUUUUGUGUCUUCAGUAUUUAUAAGCUCAUUGAGCUUACAAGGCCCAGAGGUCGUUUGAGUCUUUGAGCCUUAUCUCAAUUUAUCUGGGUCAAAUAGCCUUUUAGCCUUAGUUGUUUACUGAACUGACUUGCUCUUUGUUGGGUCGAAUACCCUUUUACUCUUAUUCAUGUAAUAUUAUAUAUAGUCGAAUUGGUUUGAGUUAAAUUAAUUUAUCGAGUGAAUUGUUUAAUUCAAUACUUUUAAUAAUUAAUUUUGAUAGUUUCGUGUUGAAUUAUAACAUCGUAAUUUUAAAAAAAGAGGUGCACUAUUUUAAAUGUUACGUUUUAAUUAUUUAUGUUAUCGUUUUGUUACGAAAUAAUCACUCUAUGUUAAACUCUGUUACCUCUUUAACGACAGUCUUACAUGACAAUUCAAAUAGAUUUUAAAUGCUAACUUGAAAUUUCGUUAAAGUGUGAUGACUGUAGUACUCUGAUUUUAUGUUGCGUCAUCACUUGAAAUUUUUUAAAUUUAUAAUUUAUACUUUUUUGUAUUUUUUUAAAUUUUAUACAUAUAUUUUAAAAUUUUAAAUAAUAACUUAACAGUUUUAGAGAGUGUCACAUCACAUUUUAAAGGAAUCCAAGUUGAAUGAUCAAAUUGUGACGUGACCCUCUCUAAAAAUAUUAAGUUCCAUAACUAAUGUAAAAAAAUUUCAGGGAUCAAUUUUAAAAAGUUACCAAAUUUAAAGACUAAAUAUUAAUUUUUCCUAUAAUUAAAUAAAUAAUACAUGUGACUGUCAUAUAACAGAACGUUUAUUGAAUAAAUUAACCCUGAUUAAUCUUUUUUUUUAUUUAACACAUUGCAACAAAUAAAUUCUCAAUCUUUUUAUCGAAAAAAAAUACCAUAUUUAAUUGAUUAUUAAGAAUGAAUAUAAUACUCAGAAGUCUUUGAUAGAGGCAUAAAGCCAAUGUUUUUUUUUUUUUCUUUCCAUUCUCUCUUUUCCUUUUUGACUCAAUUUUUUAAUUUUCCGUUCAUCUUCAAAUAUAUGAAAAACAAUGGAAGCUAAAAAAAGAAAAACCCAGACUUGUCUUAAUUUAUGUUUGGUGGGAAGUAGCUAUUAACGGAUUAUAUGAUUCUUAUAUUACAAGUUUAAUGUUUUUAAAAGAAAAUGGAGUUGAGUUGAGGCUCUGAGCCAACUCGACUUUAGCUGAGUUGCCUUGCUUUCCACUCUUUUCAUACGUUUUCAACUCACUGUCACCUACACCUACACCUACAACUUAACGUCUCUUUGAAUUUUUCCCAUCUUCUUUGACGUUCUUAUUUUAUCAACUAUACACCAUCUAUCCCAUUUUUUUUUUUAAAUGUUAGUUCAUCUUCACCAACAAUUGAAACUUAAUCAACUAAUGACAUAUGUUCAUAUUUGUUGGCAUGUCUUUGUUAAGACAAUGGAAAAGAUAGUAACAGAUGUUGUAAGAGUUCCAUGUUAUUGUUAUCUAAACAUUAACCAAUGCCAAAGUUCAGGUUUUGGGGAUUUUCAUAACCAUGUCGAAGAAUAACAACAACAACAACAAUAAGUCAGUUUUGAGGUUGAAAGAUUAUCGUGUUAGAAGCUCAGAUUCCUUGUCCAAAGUAGUAUUGCUUCAUAGUUUGAAAGAUGAUUCAGGCAAGUUCAAUCCUUGUAAGGGUGGGAAUAGACACACAUGGUUCCGCCGGAAUGUGAAAUCAGUUGCGUUUAUGUUCGUGUUAACGGCUUUCAUGUUCUUGCUCGAUUCUGUGAUGGUGUCGGUUUUCGGUUCGAUCAACUUUCAUGGAAGUUCGAGUACGAGAAACUCCGAUGGCUGCGAGGUACGGUUAUUGUUUCGAUGAAUUAUUGAAUAUGAACAUAUGCAUUGUUUAAAAAUGAUGGAACUGACACCAACUAGUUGUUGAUAUGCCUUUACGUUACAUGUAUAUGCUAAGGAGGACAGUGUUGCCCAUAAGGAAAGGCCAAUAGUUGAGAUGUAUGGUAGGCUUCUAAAUUUAGCUUCAAGUGCACUUGCUGAGGUAGGCUUCUUAGAUUUCUAUGAAUUUUAAAGCAAAAAAGUUAAUUUUUUCCUUAAAAAUGUGAAUAGAUUCAUUGAUUUGCAGGAGGAGUUUAAGCAAGAAAGUUUGAAUUUUUGGGAGGAACCAUAUCAAGAAGCAUCCAAAUGGACACCUUGUGCAGAUAAAAGAUAUCCAACAAGCCUAGGUAAGUACCUUGCUUCGGAACCUUAUCCAACAUGUAACAAAAUAGUCUUUUAACUUGUCUUUGGUUGAGACAGGGAAGCCUGGUGAAAGUAAUGGCUAUAUAAUGGUUAGCGUGAAUGGUGGUCUGAAUCAACAACGCGUAGCUGUAAGUAUCCGGUUUAAUUCCCUUUUUUGAUCUUCUAUCCAUUUUUCAUUAGGAAAGUUCGAUGUUGGUUUCGGUUAAAAUGGGGUUUGUCCACAGAUAUGCAAUGCAGUUACCGUGGCAUCGUUACUCAAUGCGACGUUGGUUCUUCCGAAGUUUCUUUACAGCAAUGUAUGGAAGGAUCCUAGGUAACCAUGUAACCUUUGAUUUGAUACUUAUAUUCAUGCAAUGGAUAAUGAAACGAUACACUUGAAAGCGGAUUUUGGGUUCGAAAUGCAGCCAGUUCGGUGACAUCUACCAAGAAGACUAUUUUAUGAGAACGUUGAAGGAUGAUGUACAUAUAGUGCAGGAACUUCCUCUUCAUUUGAAGUCCUUGGAUAUUGAAGCCAUUGGCAGCCUUGUAAGAUUAUCUUCUAAGUUUCUACAUUUGCAUUGAACUUCGGCUUUCGUUUCUCGUGACACUGUAAAACCUCGAAUCUUACCUCAAUACAGAUCACUGAUGCAGAUAUCGUGAAGGAAGCAAAGCCGAUUGAUUAUGUUCGCACUGUACUUCCCCUCCUUAUGAAGAACAAAGUUGUUCACUUCCUUGGAUUUGGUAACCGGCUUGGCUUUGACCCAUUACCUCCUGAACUCCAGGUGUGUAACAUCCCUUGCACGUUUGAGCCUACACAUGUCGAACACGUAUUUGCAUUCAAAACUCACCCCGAACCUGGAUAUGCUUUGCUCCAUUGCAGAGAUUGAGAUGUAAAUGUAACUUCCAUGCACUAAAGUUUGUGUCAAAAAUCCAAGAAGUUGCUUCAUUAUUAAUCAAAAGGAUAAGGAAAUUCGAAUACCAUGCUGCCGAACGUCAGUUAGACAAACAACUGCUAGGAGAUUUCACGCCUAGCAUUUCCUCCAAAGAGGAUUAUGUUGAAAGAGGCUCAUCUAGAUACCUUGCCUUACACUUGAGAUUUGAAGAGGACAUGGUGGCAUACUCCCAAUGUGAUUUCGGAGGUGGAGAACACGAGAAAAAGGAACUCGAAGCCUACAGAGAGGUCCAUUUUCCUCUGCUCAUUGAGCGCUUAAAGAACUCGAAGUACGGCCCUACCAGCCCUUCUGGCAUUGUUAUUUAACCUGAUGUUGUUUCCAUGCACGCACCUGAUUGAUAUGUUCUUUUCUACCAUUGAUGCUUGUAGGCCUGUUUCUCCGUCAGAGUUGCGGAAGUUGGGAAAAUGUCCAUUGACACCCGAAGAAGCAGCGCUUGUUCUUGCAGCUCUUGGCUUCAAGCGUGGAACGUACAUUUAUCUUGCAGGGUCUCGUAUAUACGGAGGAAGUUCAAGGAUGCAUCCCUUUACCAAUUUGUACCCAAAUUUGGUCACCAAGGAAACACUGCUCACAUACAAUGAACUUGCUCCGUUUAGAAAUUUCUCUUCUCGGGUAUUUUGGAUUUGGACAAUCGUUUUACGAACUUUUUCAGGUACAUUUUUGUAACAUGGAAAAAGAAUUUGCUUUGGGUGCAGCUCGCAGCAUUGGACUUCAUCGCUUGUGCAACUUCAGAUGUCUUCGCCAUGACAGACUCUGGAAGCCAAUUAUCAUCACUGGUAUCUGGAUUCCGAACUUACUACGGUGAUGGACAUGCUCCAACCUUGCGGCCUAACAAGAAGAGAUUAGCUGCGAUUUUUUCAGAGAAUAGCUCCAUAGGAUGGACUACUUUUGAAGAUAGAGUAAGAAAGAUGAUUGAGGAAGGCCAAAGAGUGCGGGUGAGGGGUUCUGGUCGAAGUAUUUAUCGACAACCAAGGUGCCCUGAAUGUAUGUGCAGAUCAUAGCCCUGAAACUGUUCUUUUUUAUAUGUUCAUUGUUCAUCAAUGUAAUUUGCUAAUAAAAAUGCACAUAGAAGCCAAAAAGUGCAUUACAUUUGAUUCACAGAGUUCUUGCAAAGUCACUUUUGCACACAUUGUUAGAACAGCAAGCAAGCCUACAUUACACACCAAAAAAUUAAUAACUAGAGCGGAGCACAAACGAAUCGAUAUCAGAUUGAACCCAAGUCAAAUAUACAUAUGACCGAGGCAUCUCGUUGUUGUUGACAAUGAUCUAUGACGGAGGGAAGAAACGAUUGAGAUUGAAAGGGAGUGAAUAAAACUCUUCACUCCGGCUAUCUCCUUUGAACGUGCGGAAAUUAGCCCACCAUGGCAUUCCUCUAUCUCGAGCACUAUCUUUGUAGUCAAGUGUGUUGUCUAGGAGUACGGCAACAAUCAAUGCAACAGUUGGAGAUGAAAAGAAGAUGGUAUUAAGGAAAUCAUUGAACUGCAUGUCAAAAAAAUAGUACAUGUCAAUGCUAUGUUUGAUUAGCAGAAAAGUUGAAUACGAAAAGUUGGCAUGGGGGACAUUUAACUCACCCAUACAGCCCUGGUAUGAGCAGGACCAUGAAGUGCCUUGGCAGUGUAUUCUCUAUAGUACUCGGGAACCGACAAGCCUAAGAACAGUGCAACACCUAUGAUGAAUAGGUUUCUCAUGGAGUUCAUGUUUGUAAAUUGCAUGAAUGACAGCCCCACAGAAGCUGAAAGCAAGUAGAGCUAUGGUUAGAAGCAAAGUAAAAUAUAGCAAUGGGGACAUACAAGAAUGUUACUCACCAACAAUACCAAACAAAACACAAUACACAGCAGCAAAUAUGGUGAACGGUAUUGAUGCGAACAACGCUCCAAAUUUUCCUGCAGAAAGUAAAGAAAUCAGCUCUUAAGGCACAAAUACUAAAAAGACCUGUUUAAUAUAUUGUCACUCACCUAAUAUCGAAAAGAAUAUCAUAAAGCCAGCCGAGAUUUGAAUGACCCUGCGGCUUCCAACACGAGUGCUUCCAAGAAGCCCCACAUUUUCCCUGUUGUUUUACCAGGAAUUAGUAUAGUAUAGUGGCAAAAAAAAGGAUCAUUUUCAGAACAAUAAGCAACAAUACUUACACAGAGACAGUUGAACCAGUCAGUGUUCCAAAUAAUCCAUCCAAAAGGAUUCCGAUGCCUUGCCAACCAAUACCACGGCUAAGAAUAUGAGCUGGAGGUGGUGUGGCACUCGCUAGGCGUGCAGCAGCCUUGUAAGAACCUGUUGACUGCCAAAGCAAACAUUUUUAGCUUUGAAUCACUAAGUAAUAUAUGUCUAUUCAAUUUAUGAGUCAGAAAUGGUUUAGGGACUCAACGUGUGAUACCCGUGUAUCUGUGCUCUUCUCUUCUUUUUUUCUUUAAACAAAAAAAAAAUUAUGAGUUUUCAUAUGAGUACCUCAAUCAAUGAGACUAAAACAGCAGCCAUCAUUCCAAAAGCAUGACCAGCAUCAAAUGUAGGAGCACCCCAUUGAAGAGGAUAAGGAAUCUUUAUCCUGUAUGAAAAAUUUUCGGUUAGAAUUCCAUUGAUUCAAUCAGCAAAUCUAGUGGGGGAACAGCUUUAGUACCAUGGGGCAGAAGAAAUGAGGUUGGCCUUGUCAGUUCUGCAAUUUAAUUGUGUUAACUCGGGACGAUGUUUGUAUGCACCACUCGCUGUCAAGAGAUGUGCAUAUGCCCAAAUUACCGUGAUCGAUAUAAUGAGGGCAAACCGCUCCAGUAUUGGCAGUUGCUUUGUGUGGAAAUUUUUCAAGUACUGUUUUUGACGUAAAAGAUAGAAUCAUACAUAUGAUUUCAUAUAGCAAAUGGAACUUGUAACCGGAAGAAAUAGUAGUACCUGAGAGAAGGCUAUAAAUAGAAUAAGCAUUGGGAUCCCAAUUUCGACGCAGCGACCGACCUGAUAGUGAGUUGAUAACAAGCUAAGACGAAAACUUUUCAUAUAAGAAUUCAAAAUAGCUCAAAAGUUUCUAUAUUAUACCACAGGGAAGCCUUUGUCAAACAAACCAAAGCCGACUAGUGCAAUAACCGGAAUCAUUCCAAGGGGGCUAAAGAACCUAAAAAUGGGGCAAAAACCAUUCUCAACUUGUGUUUCUCUAGGAUUUUGAUAUAGAAACUUCAUUUAAGAUCAAAAUUGAACCUGGUGCAAAUGGCCCACAUCUGACUAUACCCCAAGAUAAUUUGUAUGCUUGAUGCUACUAUUAGUGCACCUUGGACGGCUCUCAUAGUAUAUAGAAAUCUCUGCAUACACAUCAAAAAAGGACAUCAGCUCAUGUCCUAAAGGAAAAAUUAUGCCUUCACACAAAGUUCAUAGAAUUGUACUAACCAUAUGGUUAUCCUCAAUGUUUAGCAAAGUAGUAUCAUGGAUUAUUGAUAUAAUGGGAACCAUGAAGGCAUAAGACCCUCCAAUAACAGUAGGUAAUCGAGUUCCAAAUAGUGUUUGUAAAAGUGUAUUAAUCCCUUCAACAAAUAACAGUGUCUGCACCACUCUAACUUUAUCAUCCUAAAAACCAUCAUUAAAAGAAUUUCAUGUUGAAUACAGUAAUAAAGAAAGGGAAUCAAUGAAGAACAUUGUAAAUUUCACUGCUUACAUCAGUUCCUCCCAUUAAAGGAACAAGAAAAGAAGGGAUCAUCACAGCAGUUCCUAAGGCCAAAAUGUAAUGUUGAAACCCCAAAGCUAUAGCUUCUCCUGCUUCCACCACCAAAACAGAGCGUUACAAAAAAAAAAUACAGUUGAAAAGAUUUGAUCUAAAAUGGGAAAAAAAUGCACACCCCAAGAAGGAUUUGAGUCAAUGCAGUACUCUAGGCCUUGAAGUUGGUCCAUUGGUGGGUGACUUAUUUCUUCAGGUUUUGGUUCUGCCAUAGCUUUAUGAAAAAAUUCGUACUUUUUGCCUCUAAAACUCAAAUGGGGUAUUCACAAAAUGAAUCAAAGAAUCGAAUUUUAAGCUCAAACCAGAGUAAAACAGCUGAAAGUUCGAAACUUGAAGAUUGAAUAUAAACUUAUGCUAUGAAACACAAAAAAAGAAGUAAAAAUAAGUACUUUGCCGCUCAGUACUGAAGGAUUUUUUCACUCUCUCUACUUUAACUUACGGAGCAGAGAGAGUUUGAGUUCUGUUUUUCAGUUUUUUUUUUCUUUUUAAUUUUUACACAGCUUUUGAUUUUAUAUGCAGAAAAAGGUUCCGUUAACUUUAUCUGGUAUUCCGAAAUUACCCCUUAAGCAACCAGCCAAAACGCAAAUGUUACCGUUGGUCUUCUCAUUAUUAAAUUUUUACAGCUCAUUGUUUCUUUUAAUUACUUUUCACAUAUUUAUUAUUCACACAACCAAACCAGUACAAUAUAUAAGGGAAGGUAUUACUCUAACUGUGAUUACACAUUAUCUUUUAUCUCUUCUUAAUAGGAGAAUCACAAAUCAGAUUUUGUUCCUAGUAUUUUUAAUUAGAUUUGAACUUUUUCAGGAGAAAAAAAUUUACUAUGAUUUGUUAUUCUCCUAUUAAAAAAUGAUAAAGAUGACAUGAAAUCACAGUUUCAUACAAUCCCUUUUCUCUAUAUACAUAUAUAGAUAUCUUAUUGAAACUAGAUUUGGUUUUGUUUAUCAAUAAUUAGAGAAUGUUUUUCCCUUCUGCAUUUAUUCUAUGCAAUGAAACUAGCUAAUGAGAAUGGCAAGGGUUCUAGAUUAAAUUUUUAUCAUGUAAAUUACGUGUAUAAAUUUUCUCUUAAAUUUAUUUUAAUUAGAGAAUUUUAUCUCUAUUCUAAAAUUUCAUUAGACUUAAAUUUUAAUUUAAUUAAAACUCAAUAUAAUUAUUGAAAUAUAAAAAAAAUAUUUCAAAUUCCAUCAUAACCGUUGUUUGUUGCUUCACCAUGGCAGUGAUUUGAUCAUAGCUAUUAAAGAUAAGUUCACUUUACCAUUCUUUUUUCUCUUUUUGUCCAACAUUUUUUGCCAUUCUUAAUGCUUUAAACGAACCCUUUUUACCAAGGUUUUUUUUCAGCAUUAUAAGUAGUUUUAGCAAAAGAUUAUUUACAAUGCUAAAAUAUAUUCUACUCUUAAAAACAAAUUUUAAAAAUGAUAUACAUUAAAAGAAAGAUAAAUUAUAUAUCCAAUGUUACUAAACUGUAUUUCAAAAAAGUUACAAAACGAUCAUUAAAUUAUUUAAAUUUUUUUAUUGAAGUUACUAAAUUGUUUAAACCGUUCUUAUAUAGCUUUCUACCUACCAAUUUGCAUUCACUUUUUUAUUUACAAUUCAACUUCUUUUUUCUUAUAAAACUACCCUACAAACCAAAAUCUAAACAAUUUUAUUCUAAUCUCUAAUAUUAACUAUCAAAUUGAAUUAAACCUAAAACAUAUUCUACUUAUCGGUAAGUGCUGAUCUACCAUACCAAUUAUCGCUUGAAACUAACUAAUUGGACCUUUUAAAAAAUAAAAAAAUAUAUUAACCCAAUAACUUAAAAACUUAAAUAAAAACUUUUAAACAAUUUAAUAACAAUUUUGUACUUUUUUUAAGUUAAGUGACCAAAUGGUAAACUAGAUAAUAAUUUAAUGAACUUAGGUGUAAUUCAACCAGAAACAAUUGCUUUAAAUAAAGAUCUGAGUCUCAGACUGAAAUGUAUGCAGGGAACAGUGUACGAAUCUCCAACGUCUCUCAUUUGAUGCCAAAGAAACAAAGACAGGCACCAUUGAGCUUUGAGCCCCUUUCUCUAUCUCCAACCCCCAUGACCAUGACCCCAUCUAAUAUAUAUUUUGUCAUUUUUGCCUCGAAUUUUGGCAGCAAAGUUCAUGCAAAUUUGAAAUCACCCCCACCUGCUUGCCUCAACAAAUAUUAUGAUAGAAAUUGGUAACAUAAACAUCCAAGAGAUAGCCAUGUAUUUUUAAGCUCAAAAGAAUGACAAAUGCUUUCAAGAUGAAGAUGAUAUGACCAUGGCUUGCUUGGCUCUUCCAACUAUUUGCAUCCCUCUCGGUUAAUACAAGGAAUGUGAGAUUUUGACCAAUCUUUCUCGUGCUACGCUUGCUUUACUGCGUUAAAGCUGAAAGACCAAAAGUUAGACCUCGAUGGUACACAGCUAGGGGCAAAGCAUUAUUGCAUCACUUCAGCAUCAAUAUGGGGCUAUAAUUAGGUAAGUGAUCUACAAGGUACAAUACAAACAUUACAAAGGUGCAAAAACGCAAAGGACUGGUUCUCAGCCUCACAAACAGUUUUCUGGAACACCGUCAAGAACUAAAAAUGAUCAAUUUAAGAUCUUCUAUCCAACCUCUUUUCACUGGAUUUUUUCUCUUCUGUUUCUCGCCGUUUCUGCUGUCUGCCAUUUAAGAAUAAAAAUGAAAUCAGUACUGAUUACUAAGCUCUAAGCACUAGCUCUAAGUUGUUUGUUUCAAUAAAUUAAUCAUGCAGCCGCAAAAAAAAAAAAAAAAGAGAUUCUUAUCCAGAUUAAAAUGCAUGAAAUCGAGGGGGAAGAUCUGAACAAUUUUUCAUCAAGUUAUAGGACUUACGCAAAAGCUGUGUACCCGGUUCCAGCAUUAGCAGCUGAUAAUAUAACUGUAUGUGCUCCAGCAGCAGAUAGAGAAUGCUGUGAUCCAGCAGGAAGAGGAUUCCUUCUAUCACUAUCCACCUGGAAGUUACAUGAAACAAUGAGAAACUUAAGGUUCAUGAUAUCACAGAUGAUGUAUUUGUGAUAGAGAUGCUAAGACAAGUUAGUACCUUAUCCCAUUUUGAUUUCUUGUUUUGUCUACCAUCCCGCACAAUGUUGUUAUCCACUGCAGUCGGACCUGAAGGCAAACCACUCCCAGCCGCAACUGAAAAACCACAAUCAAUCAAUAUAAGAAUAACAUCGCUAGAUCUCAAAAUACAUACACUCAUAAGAAGAUUUCAUCAGGAAAAAAAAAAGUAAAGGAAAAACACCUGCAGUAGGCAUGCUAACUUUUGGAGCAGGAAGAACCGCUCCAGGUUGAUUUCCACCGGGUACAAAUUCGACCUUUUGGUUCUUCUUGCUUUCUUGUUCCUUCCUCUCCCUUUCACAUUUCAUAUCAGCCUCUGCAUUUAAGCAAACAAGUUUAAGAACAUUAAAAUGUGUGAAAAUAUAUUGAGAUUAAUAGCAAAAGCUUUGACGAAAACAAAUAAGAGAAAGCAACACUCAACAGUUAAUGCUUAGAUGCAUCCAAUGCCAAUUGAGCAUAGAGUGCGACUAGGUGCACCUACACCUUAGCACUAGACAACAAAAGCGCCUCAAACCCUUUCAGGAGAGACCCAUUUGAUCAAGUACAUGCGUAGUGCACCUAGGCAUGCUUUAUUGUAAGGCGAUAAACAUAAGAAACGACCAUCUGAUUGAAGAUCUCUUUAAUUUCUUUCAUUAGAUAUACAUUUACUAGUAAGAAAGGGAUAGUCUCCAACUUUGUACUUCUCUAUAUUUGAGUAUUCAACUUAGACAUUGAUCAUAAGGAAAUCAUUCAUAUUUACUAAAAAAAUCGCAUGUUCUGUAGAUAAAAAUAAAGUAGAUCACACUUCAGAGUUUAUUAUGCAUACAAAAACUUGCACACAUACAUUUUGUGCUUUACUUCACUCAGGCUAGUGCUUUUUUUUUCCUCCUUGUGCCUGAGAAAAUACAAGGGUUCUAGCGCCUAGAGCGUGACUUUUGCCCUUGACAACACUGAUUCAAUAUAUAAAAGAGAGAAUUAUAGAAGCUAAUGUUAUAACCUAUUUCAUCAUAGAAGUCGCUUUUGUCAUAUCCAUGAGGAUCGAACACAUCUUUACUGAAGCAAGACCCUAUCUGAUCAAUAUCUUGAUACCUCACAGCAUGCAGCAAAAAGUCAGGGUUCCUAUAAUCCUUCCUAUUCCGAACUUCAGCAUUGAAGCUUUUUCCAGCUCUCUUCAAGUUGAGAAAUUUAUCUAUUUUCCUCUGUAGUAACAUACAGAAAGAAAUGAAGGUCAUCAAUAUAAAAAACUGAAGGAAAACGCAAUAUAACUUGGAUCAUUCUAGAUUAUCAACAAGGGAUAAGCUCAUUGGUAUAAAAAUGAAAAAAGAGCAAGACAACCACUGAUACAUAAGGAUUAGGUAUCAUGAACUACCAAUCUUUCAUUCAGCAGCAGAGGGUGGCAAGUCGGCAACAACUGACAUUGUAAUUAAAUAAACCAAAUGAAAUUCAGGAGUGAGUGAGCUAAAAAUUACAAAUCAGGCCUGUGGAAACAGAAAUCGACAUUUACAACUUAUUGAGUGCCAUGGAUCAGCAUGCCUUCAGAUGGCAAAUAAGAAAACCUUAACAACACCUAGCUACCUUCAUCUCUCAUAGAAACACAGAAGUUCCAGCACAACAUAGUCCAUCUCAACUGUUAACAUUUGGGUGGGGUUAUAUAAGGAUAAAUUCAAGCUUUUUACAUUAGGUCCAAAGAAAUAUAAUUAAUAACUAAUAACAUACAAAAGACACUUACUUGUAGCUCCUCCGAGCACUUGACCUUUGGUGGAGGUGGAAGAAACUUAUCCAAGGGAUCAACAUUGUCUACAGAAACGGCUUCCUCAACUUCUACACCAUCUGAUUCAUUAACAGCAUUGGUCAAGCUCUCAGGCUGUAAUGGUUCUAAGUCCGAUGAUUGUGGAGUCAGCUGAACAGCCCCCGGAGGCGUUUUUCCUUGAAAAUCACCUGCAAACAAAUGACAAAUUAGGAAGCUACCGAUUUUAAAAGUAACAUUUGUAGUUAAAUUAAUCGAAUGAAAGGGAAAAAGGGAAAUAAAUAAGUACCAUUGGCAUUCUGUUGAUCUAUGCCAAUCAUGAGGUCAUCACUGUUUCCUAGUUCCCCUUCCUGCACUUAAACAUGGAAAAAAUAAUCUAACCACGUAUCAUUAAACAAUAAAGGAAUUUUAAAAAAAAAAGUCUUUGGCAAGGCGGAGAGGGGAUUACCUCAGGCUCCGGUGACAUGGCAGCUUCAUCGUGGCCAUAAUCAACAAUGGUCAGCCUUCCUCCUCCACUUCUCUUCGACGAAACCAAAGUUUGAGGUUGCUGCGGCGAAGAAACAGAAGGCUCCUGCUGUUGUUGUGAAAGAAUGGUGUUUUGGUGAGGAAAAGGAGGCGUAUUAUCGUUGGUUCUCGAAUCUUCUUCCAUAUUGUUAUUAGAUUCUCUGUAAUCGUUUUCUUCUUCUAGCGGCUGCCCUUCUUGUUGUUGUUCUUCUUCUUCCCCAGUUUGUUGGUUUUGCCGGUGGUCACCUUCUUCGAUGUCUCCCAUUUCUUCGUCAUCUUCAUCGUUGUACAUGGAUAGCAAGGCAAUCCCUUCGGAUUCCUUUUUCCUCGACGCCAUGGAAUCUAGGGUUCCUGAUUCGGCCGGAAAUUCUUAACUGAUUUGAAAAUUAGUUCGAUUAGGGUUUCGGAUUAGGAAAAUUAGGGUUUGGAUUUCAGAACCAGUUGAUAGAGGAAGCAGUAAUUUCGAAAAUUUUCUUGGUGGGGUUGGAGGUGAUUGUUGUCAAGGCUGAUUUUGAUUUUGAUUUUGGUUUUGGUUUUGGUUUUGGUUUUGAUUUUGAUUUUGAUUUUGAUUUUGAUAGCUGAAAGAGCCGGAUCUGAAAGUCGGGUCACGGUUCAAGCCCAAACAAACAUUUUGAUCUUUCAAAUUUACGCCCAACCCAUUUCUUAUUGGACCUAUUGCUCAUUCCCGAUAAUUUAGAGCUCAAAAGGCGGAUUCAUUUACAAUGUAAUUUGGGAGUUGUAAAUUAUUAUCGCAAAAUAAGAGUAUUCAUUUUGAAAUUAUUUAUACCAAUUAUCAAAGUUAUAGUCUUGUUGAUGAGUCGAAGUUGUUCACUUGAACGGUGGAGAGUCGUAUUCAGUAAAAGAGGAGGUAUUAUAGGGAGUUAAAGAGUGUUAAGCUUAGUUUAGGAAUUUCUCUUAAAAGUGCUUUUGGAAAAAAGUUAAAAUUUUUAAUAUUUAAGAAAAAUACUUUUGGGCUAAUUUUUAAUUUGAGAGAAGCAUUUUUUUCUCUCAAAAUGCAGCUUGUUUAAGAAUUUUUUUGUCGCAAAAGUGCUUCUUAAACUAACCAUUAGAAUGGAGGAGUAGGAGAUCUUGAGAAUAACAGUUUUAGUUGAUAUUAUACUCUUCAUAACCUGUUGUAAGGUUUGGAGAGAUAUUUAAGGGUACACUUAUACAACACGGGUCCUCUUGUAAUUUGUGGGUUGUCAUUUGUUGUAAAUAUUUUCAUAAAUUAGUUACGUGAGUUAAUAUGACCAUCGAAAGCAAUCUUAUCAAGAUGGAUGAGCUUGGUGUGGUCUUAGUCUAGGUGAGGUACAAUGCGGAUAAUGUAGUCUCUUUGAAUAGGUAUGAAGGUUUGACAAGGUAUGUGUAACAAGUCUAAUGCAAAAGCAUGACAUAGUUUUACAUAAAGUUUGAGCUCACAAAAGCCUCGAACAUUUAGCAAAACUCAUUGUUGAUCAUAAGACAAGUCACGUGAAAUGAUGAGUUACUUUCUUUUAUAAAAAGAGCUCUAAGCAACUAUGAUUUCAAAGCCAACUAAUUAGUCACUCUACAAACUAACACUAACAUAAUCAGAGGUCAAUUAAUGAAUAAUUGUUAAGUAGCUUUUCAAACAACUUAAAAAUUAAGUAUAAAUAUUUACCGAAGACCCUCUUUUUUUUUUCUCCGUAGUCCAUAUUAUCAACUUUCACUAUGUGCUUAAAAAUCUAAAAGUAUUAUAAAUGCUUUUUUAAUAGGAGUCAGAUUGUAUUUUGCCUCCUCUACUAAAGAAAUGGGCAGAUUAAUUCUUCUACAUUAGAUAAAAAAACAAACAAAUCCUUUCAUUAAAAAUUCCAUCAAUUCUAUUGUUAAAAUCUGGUACCUGUACGUCAAUAUGAGGUACAUGGCACGCUACGUGUUACUAUAUGAUUAUUUCGUUAGCCAUGCUAAUUUCUAACAAUAUAAAUGGAUGAAUUUUUUAACAGAAAAGACAAUUUACUCUUUGAUCUAACUUGCAAAAAUCAAUUUAUUCAAAUUUUAAGUAGAGAAGACAAAAUAAAAUCCAACAAUUCUUAGUCGUUUAAAACAUAUUCCAACCCUCUUUACUCACAUGUAUGACAUUUUAUAAUAAUAUGAAAAUUCUAAACUUACUUGACUUAAUUUUACUAGUAAAAAUUUAUAUAUUUAAAUAUAUUUUCACAUAUUUUCUAAAUGACAAGUUAUUUUAAUAUUUUCUACUUGCGGAUAAGUUUUUAUUGAUUAAAAAAAAAAAGAUGAUAGUGAUUUUAAAAUCUUUGGUAGAUUUGGUUUGAUGAAGUCACGAGUGUUCAACAAUAACCUUAUUUUCUACCAAAUUGUUGCAAAAGAAAAAAAAAAAAGGACAAAUUGACCAAAAAGAUGUGAUAGAAGCCAGACAAUUAAAUUUCGACAUAUAUUAAAUUAAAAUCAAAACAAAAAAGCUCAACAUUAAGUUGAAUUAGGGCUAGUUUUUCAAUACUUUUAAAAAGUACUUCUGAAAAGCGUUAUGAAAAAGUGUUAUGAAAAAGUAUUUUUGAGAAAUAUUUUUGAAAAGUUUAAUUUAAAAUUUGAGUGUUUAGCAUUGCUGUCAAAAAGUGAUUUUGAGAAAUAAAAUAUCCAUUGUAGACAUGUUAUUAUCAAGUAACAAAUAUACAUUUAAAUAAUAUCUAAAUUAAUUAAUAUUAUUAUAUUUUAGUAAGAAUAUAAAAAAAUUAUUAUAACUUCUUGUUAAUAUUUUAAUAUAUAAAAUAUAAAUUUUAAAUAUUUUUAAGCAAUAAAUAUUAAUUAUUUAUAAAAUUUAAUUAGAAUAUAUAAACUAUAUUUUAAAUAUUUAAACAUAACUAUUAAAUAUUUGUAAUUAGUAUUUUAAAAAAUAUUUUUUUAUUUUUAAUUAAUGAUUUUAACACAUUUGUAAUUAAAAACCAAGAAAAAAAAGAGAGAAAGUACUAUGUUAUUGGAUGAUGAAAAAGUAAUUAAGCACUAAAAGUGAUUUUGGGAGAGGAAAAACUAAAAAUUUUAGCUUCUCCUUUUUAGAAGUGCUUUUCAAAAGCACUUCUGAAAAGCUAAAAAUUUCAGCCAAAAGCAGCUUAUUCUGCACAGCUUUUCUUCCAGAAAUGCUUUUGGAGCCAGAAGUGCUUUUGAAAAGCAAUGCAAAACUGGCCCUUAGACUUGUAAAUGAAUCGGGUCAAGCUGUUUGAAAAGUGAAAGAGUUUGAAUAAAAAUAUAGUAUUAAAAAAUGAACUUGAAUAAAAAAAUAAGACUCUUUUAAAAAAUGGACCAAGAAUUGAGUAAGGCUUUUUUUGCUCUUCGAGCUCGGCCUAACCCGAAUUUACAAAAAAAAAACUAUUAUUUUCUUCUUCUUUUUUUACUGUUUUGCUACUAUUUUCUUGUUGUUUUCAUAAUAUUUUGUUAUCAUUUCACUAUUAUGUUACUACUAUUUUAUUGUUAUUGUUUAUAUAUUGUUACUUUUGUUACUAUUUUAGAGAUAUUUGUUUGUUAAGUUGCUCAUAUCUUAGUGUUAUUUAAGUAUAUAUUUUUAAUUUAUUUUCAAUUUAUUGAGAAAUAUUUAUUUUAAUGUUUUUAGUAUUUUUGAUGUAUUAAUUUUUUUAAAAAUUAUAUAAAAAAUUUAAUACAUACAGGUCGGGUUUUGGCAAAACUUUAGGCCCAUUUUUGGGCCUAGCAAGUGGGCCUAAGAUUUUGGUUGGGCCUAACCCGAACCUAACCCGACUCAUGGAUAUCUCUAAUCUCAUUAUAUGUUUUUAUUAUGUCUACUCUUUUUGAUAUAAUAUCUAAAACUUCUUAUAGUCCCUCAUCAACCCUUAAAUAAGAGAAUAAUACGCUUCCAUGUAAUUUAACCCACAUCAUCUUAUGUUAAUCAAGUUAGCACUCAAUCGAAAAAAAAUCAAAUUUAAUACUAAGUUAGCUGCCUUUUUUAUAUUUAUAGUCCCCCAAUGCCAGAUGGGCUAGGUGUACAUUUUUUAUUCAUGUACCUCGUAAUAUGAUUAAGUGCAACCAUAAAAAAUACAGUACCAGCUAUAUUUAUUCAUGUGGUCCACUUAAAAUAUCACUAUUAAUUUAAAGUACAUCAUAUAAUAUUUACUUUUAUUUUGAGUGAUUUUAUUCAACUUAAAUAAAUUAAUGUCUUAAUUAAUUCCACUGUAUACCUAAUGCCAUUUCUCUUAUUUAUUUGUUUCUUCACAAGUUCCUCUCCGACUUUUAAUUAAUUAUAUUUAUUUUGUAUAAGAAAAAGUCAAUGGUAUCUUACUGGUCACGCGUAUUUUUUGAUAGAAAAUAAACAGCAAUUUAUGUGAUUAUAAUCAUUGAUUUCAUUGUAAAAUCAAAGCUUUAUUAGGAUUCUCUAACAAAAUAUUCUUCACUACAUUUGGAGGAGCAACAAAUAAUUAUAAACUAACAAGACGAGUGGCUAUUUUGGCCAAAAAAUCCGCAACUUUAUUUUAAAAUUUCAGCACAUGUCACACGUAUUUAAAUAAUAAUUGAUUAUAGAAAAUAUGAGAUUAAAUAUGGCCAUUAAUAUUUAUAUGUUUUGUUAAAAUGACCCGAUUGUAUUUUUAAGUUUUUUUGGGUCAUCAACCUUUGUUGUUUGUUUUUAUUUCCAAAUUGAUAUUUCUAACAGAUUUUAUGAAAGUACCGUUAAAAAAUUUAAUGUGGAUAAUGUAGAAGAUUUUUAAUGAGAUGUAAUUUAUUACUUAAGUAACUCAAUAAGAUAAUUACAUGUGAAAAAUAAUAAAAUAAAUAAAUCAUAUAUGAAAUAAAAAAAAUCUCUUAAUUUAAAUAAAAUAAACAUAAUUAUCUGAAAAAAGUUUAAAAAUAAAUGCAUAGGCUUGUUUAUUAAAAGGUUUCAUAAAGAUAAUUAAUAAAUCAAACCGAAAAUACUGAAUUCAUGCAUUCAUUUUGAAACUUUUUUUAGAUAAUUAUAUUUAUUUUCUUUAAAUUAAGAAUUAUAUUUUUUAAAUUUCCUGAAUUAUUUACUUAUUUUAUUAUUUUCCACAUGUAAUUAUUUUAUUGGGUUAUCUAAGUAAUAAAUUACCUCUCAUUAAAACUAUUCCACGUAUGAAAUUCCAUAUCAUCUCGUCAACUUUUUUAACGGUACUUUCAUCAAAUCUGUUUGAAAAAACAAUUUGAAAAAGAGAACAAAUGAUGAUGACAAAAAAAAAGGCUUAAGAAUACAAUUAGGGCUAUUUUGACAAAACAUGUAAAUGUUAGUGGCCAAAUUUAUCAUUAAGCCUUAAUUUUAUACACUCAACAAAGCUUUUAAUUGGUAAUGGUGAAGGUCUUAGGAUUGAGAUAAAUCAUGUGCAAUUAGAACGGGUUUAAAGCAUUUGAGACAAGGCCCAUGUAUUAUAGGGAUUGGAUCAAAUUUGUUUAUCUAUUAUUAAAUGAAUCAAUUUAUUUCUUAUACUACAAAAAAUAAUAAAAUGAGCCCAAAGUAAUAGAAUUGACAUUUAAUAUAUAAAAAAUGUAUUGAAAAUUAUUUUUUUCAAUUACAGUUUAAUUUUAAACAAAAAUUUUCAGCUAUAGUACCAUAAAAUUUUUGAAAUUUUUUAACUUUAAUAAACAAUAAAUGAUGUUUUUUAAAUUGUUAACUUUAUUCCAAAUUUUUCAAUUUGACAUUAUUUGAUAUUUUUAAUAAUACGAAGACUAAAUUUCUAGAGGGAUCUCUAGGUAUAUUCACCAAUUAAAAUGUGUUGAUCUCUAAAUCCUUAGUUAAUUAAUUCAUAGCUUGUGCCGUAAUAGUUUGAUUCUUGAUUCUAAUUCAUAAUUUUAACCAGUUUUAUAUAUAAUAGCAUUUAUUAAUGUCUUUAUUUUUCAAGUAUUUAUUCCAUAAUUCCUAAAACUUCAGGCUGAAAAUUAGUAUUAGCCAAAAUGAAUUUUUCUAUUCCAUCAAAAUUUUAAAUUAUUUUUAAUCAUGAAUGGCUAAAAUUUUGACCAAAGGUUGGAUUGAUGGAGUUCUUUUAGUUUUUUAAGGGGUUGAAAUUAAAUUUUAAUUUUUGCAACAGUAAAAAUAUAAUUUCAUCAUUUUAAUAGUCUAUAUAUUUAUAAUUUUUAAAGUAUUAAAUUAAAUUUUUAUCAUCUUUAGGGAAACUAAUGUACAAUUUUACAUUUACUAAUCUAAAAUUUUAAAAAUUUUCAAAGGUCUAAAUGAUAAUUUUUUUCAUUUUAGGGGCCCUGCCAGCCCCUAGCUACACCCUGAUUCAAUUUAAAAUUAUUUGAAUAUUAAAUUUAAUAAAAAAGAUUUUAUUUGAAGUUUAAAAUAAAAUCUGUUGAAUUCAUUAAGAAGGGGGAAAUGGCUUGGCAGUGUGUAGUGCACGUAUCCACGUAAGCAUAAUUAAGGAAAAUGGUGAGCAUUCCUGUUUCAGCAGGUUGGUAAGGAAGAAGAUUAGGUUUGAAAAGAGAUGGGUGUUGGGAAUGCAAUGUGCAACAUAAAGUGAGAUAGACAACAAUCAUAUAACACGCUCUCCCCACUUGCAGCCCUCUUUAACCAUGAAAUCGCUGUGUCUGCUCUGUCGACUCGAAUUGUUGUUGAGCUGUCACCGAUUUAUAUCUCACCGGCCUCUUUCUUUAAUUUUCCCACGUAGAUUCCUCCCAUUCUACUCUCUCUUUCCAUUUCUCUUUUUUUUUUCCUUAUCAGAUCGCAACUAUAAUUUAAAAAAAACCAUAUUAUUAACAUACAUAAUACGUUUCACAUUGAUAAUUUAAAUAAAAUUAUAAAAAAAAUUGUGUUUUAUGUGAAAAAGAAACUUCUAAAGAAAAAAAAAGUUUAUUGGGGAAAUUAGGAUAAAAUAUUAUUAAGGAGAGAAUGAAAAUUCAAGUUUUGAAAAUGAUAUUGUUGAAAGGGACAAUUACAAACUGAACAUGUACAUAAAAUAUAUAUAAAGGACCCAAAAAAGAGCAAAAUAUCAUUAAUUAAUGAAACUGUCCUCUAAAUUAAAAUAAAAAUCCAUGUUUUCUUCAAGAGCCAACGGGCCAAUUUAUGUAUAAUCCCAAUGGUCGGACUUAUGAACAUACCAGGAAAUAAUGGAAUGAAAGCUAGCAUACAAUCUAUGGGUUUCAACAAUGACAAAUCUAAAGAGCGAUUGUUAAGAAAACAAUCGGACUAAAAAAUGAUACGGGGGAAGCCAUGCUCCUUAGCUAGACAAAUUGCUCCCAAAGUAUAGCAAUGGCCACGAUUGAGAGCCUAUCAAAAGAUCCCUCAAGUUGACGCGUGCAACCCAUACGAACAUGGCAUCCUCAUCCCACAUGAUUGCUCCCAUAGUUGCUCAUAUGUUCACUGUGUCGCAUCAACGUAAAGCUUGAGCUGCUCCCCAAUGGGUGCUUCCCAUUUCACCACCUUUGGUCUUCUAGGCAAAAGGGUGCUUGAAUACGAUUAUGAAUUCUGAAGUUUUUCUGGAGUGUCCAAGCUUAGAAAAGAGCAUCUUGUGGAACCAUGACAUUUCCUUGAUAGAGCUCCAUGUUCUGAGCAUUCCAAAGCUGCCAUAGGACCACCGAAAGCAUUGUGAAAGCCUCCUUGUCAAGCUUUUGUAUUGUGAAUUUCAUCCAAUCAAUGGCCCGGCAAAAAGAGGCAGUAAGUAAAUUAUCAUCAAUACCUUGUUAGAGAAGGCAAUCUUGAAUGACAUGCAAAAACAUCCUCUCUCGAAUUAUCGCACCUUCUAUUCUGAGGGUCGUUAUGUAAUGAAAAAGGGACACAUUUAAUCAUUGUAGGGAGAAUCUUGUGACCCAUUCUCCACCCAAACAUUUUGGUCUUAGGUAAGGUUUUCGGUUUCUACAUCUCUUUCCAAAAACAUAAUUUAUGUUAUCGGAGAUAGGGUUAAAAAAAUUUGAAUCAGUUGAGUUGAUGAGUCAUAUUUUAUUAUAUUAAGUCAAUUUGAAAUUAUUUUGAAGUGAGUCGUAUGAAAUUAAAUUUAAUUUGAGUUCAAUUGAAUAAAUUUAUUCAAGUUAAUUAAACUUUUUUAAACAUACCAAAUUAAAAUCUUGUUAACAAUAUGACUAAAUUUCAAGUUAGAACAAAUUAAAAUCUUGUUAACAAUAUGACUAAAUUUCAAGUUAGAACACGUAAAUUUGAUAUCAUAUAUAUUUGAAAACUCUUUCAAAACGAAAUAAGAGAAAGAAAAACAAUAUACUUUAAUAGAAUAAAACUUGAUUUGGUAAAUUACUUGUUUAAGUCAUCAAAUUUAGUAAUUUUUUAAUAAUUUAAAGGUUUUUUAAAGAUUUUUUAAGAUUUUUUUUUCACAACUUUUGAGUGGGAUCAAUUUGAACUUUUUUAAGAUAAUAGGGAUCUAAAAGAUAUUUACAGCAAUUUAUUUGUUUUCAAGAGUUAUAAAAAUUCAACUCCACUUAAACUAAAAAAACUAAACUAAAUUACUUAUUUAAAUUUAUUUGAAAAAUCAAAUAGCUCUAAAAAUUCAAUUCAAUAACUAAAGAAAUAAUUGAAAAAAAAAUUUCUAGUCGAAUCUACCCGAGGGCUCCAGCCCUCCCAAAAUGGGAUUUUUUUAGUUUUUUAAAAUUUCUAAAAUUUUAAAUUAAUAUAUGAUAAAAUUACACCUCAACUUCUAUAAUAAAAAUUUUAAUUUAAUUAUUCAAAAAAUUAUAAAAAUAUAAAUUACUAAAAUAAUAAAAUUAUAUUUUGAGGAUCAUAAAAACAAUUUAAUUCCGUCUCUUCUAACAAAAAUUUUGAGAUUUCGGCUCUAAAUCUUGCUUUGCUUUUUCGAAAAGAAUGCGGUGUGUAAAACACAAAAGUUAUUUUCUAUAAAAAAAUAUAAUUGCACCCCUAACACAAUUCAUUCAAUUUCUUUACGUUUUCGUAUAAAUAAAUGGCUAAAAGACAGUACAAAAGAAAAAAGAAAAAAGAAAAUGGAAUAUAGAGCAUAUUUUGUUGGCACUUUGUAUUGACUUUGUAUUCCAUGUUGUCUUUUUAGAGUUUAUGCUGAGAAAAUAUCCUGGCGAAGUUAAAUUUUUCGCAUUGAAAUUAAAUUAUAAUUUUUAUAAUAAUAAAAAUAUAAUUUUAUAGUUUUAAUAAUUUAUAUUUUAAUAUUUUUAAAAAUUUAAAUUAAAUAUUUAUUAUUUUUAAAAGUUAAAAUAUAAUUUUAUUUUUAUUAAUUUAAAAUUUUAAAAUAUUUAAAUAAGCAGGACCCUUUAGCCCCUAACUACCCUGGAGAAUAUAAUGUUAAAAUAAAACCUUUAAAUAUUUUUAUUUAAUUUCCAACAUAAAAGGCAGUGGAUAACAAAUUUGAAGACUUUUCCACAAAUGAAUGAUUAGUGAUUUAAAUAAUUCAAGUGGUGGCAGUGAAAUAAAUAAAUAAAUAAGAAAAUUUUAAAAUAAAAAAAUCUAUAUUUGUUUACAAAAUGAAUGGGGAUAAAUACUUAGAUUUGAAUUUUAAAAUUAUUAUAUAUUGUAAAUCUAGAAUUAAUGUAGAUAAAUAUUUUAUAUAUUUAUUAUUUAAAUUUUAAGGUAUUGUUUUUUGGAAUAACAAAUGUAGAUUUAGAUGGAUGAGUUUAACUCGAUUUAAUUUGAAUUAUUUUUAUUCGAUUUUUUAAAUUAAUUUUAAUAAGUAAAUAAGUAUUUCGAGUUAGAGUGAAGUUGAAUUUUAUAAAUCGAAUAAUUUAAAAUUUGAAAAAUAAAUUGAUGUAAAUAUCCUUUUAAUCAUUGAUAGUUUUGAAAUUGUAUAAGUUGGUUCUCUCAAAAUUUAACCAAAAAAAAAAUUAAAAGUCUUAAAAUAUAUAUGAAAAUUCUAGUUAUAUAUAUUUUAAAAAAUACCAAGAUAAUAAAUCUUACUCAUUAAAUAAGUAAAUUAUCAAAUCAAGUUUAUCAUAAUAACUAUAUUGUUUUUUCUCCUAUUUUGUUUCAAAGGAAUUUUUAGAUAUAUAUAUACACGAUAUUCAUGAUCUUUAAAUCAUAAUUUAGUUAUAUUGUCAACAAUAUUUUAAUAUAUAUAUCUAAUCAGCUUGUUAAAAAUACUUAUAAUUUUAAUUAUAUAAAAAGUAAUUUUAGCGGAUUCAAAUUUAAAAUUUUGCCAGUUUAGAUAUUUUUUAAAUUGAUUUUUUUUACGAAUUUAAAAAUUCAAUAGAUAAUAGUAUCUCAUUCGAAUUUGAAUUUAUAUAGUAAUACUUAUAUAAUUUGUAGAUAAUAAACAAAUUCAAAUUUUAGAUAAAUUUAACACAAAUAAUAAUAUUUAAUUUAAUUUAGAUAAAAAAAACUUGAAUAAUUAAUCAUAAUAACGCAUAAAAGAUGUACAAUGUUAAAAUAAAAAAAUAAAUUGUGAGUAAAAUAAAAUUUAAAUACAUAAAUACAUCAGAUAAAUAAUAUUAAAUGCACAAUAAUUAGUUAUCAUGGUUUUGUCAACAAUGAUGAGUUAGUGUUGAGUUGACUUUGACGAGAGCAGAGAAUGAAAAGAAUGAAAGAAAAAUGACCACGGCUAUUCAAAAUUCAAAAGAUUUUUUUUCAAAAUGUUUGUCUUGGCCUUGGCCAAAAACCGCUGGUUCUGCUACCGCUGGUUUUGCUAUCGCUGGUUUAGCUACAGCUGGUUCUUCUAAUGACCUGGGGGUGGGGGGGGGGGAAUGGAACCACCCCAACCACGUUCAAGCUAAAAACUAGUUCGAACUAAAGUAUUUAUUCUAUUAGGUAAUUAGAAAUAUCAUAAGAGAAGAAGAAAUGCCCAAA
This 79327-nucleotide long non-coding RNA is filed under the name Gossypium barbadense (sea-island cotton). Its description in RNAcentral is "long non-coding RNA (GBAR_LNC008718)". The stretch from base 14772 to 14908 matches the Rfam family "mir-399 microRNA precursor family". The record is from RNAcentral. Lineage: Eukaryota; Viridiplantae; Streptophyta; Magnoliopsida; Malvales; Malvaceae.